UUGAUGUGAGGAACAAUGCUAUAAAUGACACAUUUCCAGCUUGGCUCGGAACUCUUCAAGAGCUGCAGGUCCUUAUAUUAACGUCGAACAAGUUCCAUGGACCUAUAAGUACUUGUCAGACUAAGCUUUGCUUUCCCAACUUGCAAAUUUUUUAUCUUUCUCGUAAUGAUUUCAGUGGCUCACUUCCUGCAAAAGUUUUUGGAAACUUCAAGGCAAUGAUCAAAUUAGAUGACGAAGACACAAGAGAGAUCAAGUACAUGGAAUCUAAGUCAAAUUUGUCAUUUGACACAUCUUAUGAGGAUUCAGUGAGUUUGGUAAUCAAAGGGCACGAUAUUGAGCUACAAAGAAUCAGCACAAUUACGACAACCAUAGAUCUCUCAAGCAACCAUUUUGAAGGUGUCAUUCCGGAAACACUAAAGGAUCUCAGCGCACUUUGGCUACUCAAUUUAUCCCACAACAAUCUCAUAGGUCAUAUUCCAAUGGAAUUGGGGCAAUUGAAUACACUUGAAGCUUUAGAUCUCUCCUGGAAUCGGCUCACUGGAAAGAUUCCGCAGGAAUUGACAAGAAUAAACUUUCUAGCAGUCUUAAACCUCUCCCAAAAUCAUCUCGUCGGACCAAUUCCUCAAGGUCCACAAUUCAACACAUUUGGAUAUGACUCAUAUGGUGGCAACCUUGAUUUAUGUGGUCUUCCUUUAUCAAAGCAAUGUGAAACAAGUGAUUCAUCACAUGUUCCUCAACAAGAAGAUGAAGGCGAGUCAUAUUUUUUUAGUGGAUUUACGUGGGAAUCAGUAGUCAUAGGCUACAGUUGUGGUCUAGUUGUUGGAACUUUUCAUGUGGAGUCUCAUGUUUAAAUAUCGUAAGCCAAAAUGGUUUGUGGAAUUUUUUGAUGGACUCAUGCCUCACAAAAGAAGAAGGCCAAAGAAGAGAGCUCAGAGAUGACGGACUUAAUGGAAGAUUGAGAGGGUAACCUUGUCUUUGUUUGAUUUUGUGGACUAAUUAGUGAACUUUUCUGGUUCUGUUUUUGUCUUUUCAAUUUUCUAUUUGUUGUUUGUAUAUGUUUGAUAGAAACAUAAUUAUAUGUGUGUUAUUCAAGUUAUGUUAGUUUGUUUCUGUUUCAAGUUGAUAGAAGUGAUUUACACAGCCACUCAUUAGUUAUGUUACUCAGACUCUUCAAAAAUGUCAACGACUACAUAUUGAAUUCUUCAAAAGUAGAGCAUUUUUUAUGAAACCAACACAAAUGCAACACCAUUUUAUUUUUAGGAGAGUCGGAGCAACAUAGCUCAUCAGCAUAACAAAAACAGGAAAUUGCACAAGCAAAUAGAUCAGUUUGGUUUAUGAUUGAAAUCACUUGAUAUUAGAAAGUUUAUAUUUUUGAAAAUUUAAGUAGAAGAGUACUCAAAACUACAUAAUUUGCUAAUAAUUUUGUGGUUCUGCAUCUUUAGAAUCAUAAAUCACUUAAAAUGUUCUCUAACUCAAUAUCAACUUCCGCAAAUUUAAUUUUAGUAAGUUUUUACAUAUAUUUAUACUUCGUGUACGAAAAAUAAUGUCUCUGGUUGUUCAACAACUAAUUCAUAUUGUUUGAUUAUCAAUGCGGAAAAGGUUUUUUUAAAAGGGCAAAAUGUUCUAUACAAGGAUUUUAGAAGUGACUAGUACUCAUUCAUGGACUACAAGUGACUUUGAGUCUUCCUGGAAAUUGACUUAACACUUAGGACAACCACAAAUUAUUUGUUUGGAUGUGUUUCUUUUCUUUCGCUAAUUUAUACCUCAAUAGUCCCAUGCAUAGACAAGUCAACAACGCUACUUUAUGAAAUACUGUUUGGUUAAUUGUUCACUAUAUUUUAAUGUGGAGGUCGUUGUAAUAAUUAAGAAAUGGAAUAGUGUUUGGUUAAUUAUAGCAUCCUUUCUUCCGUGACUACUUAUUUUAUUGACUUAUUUAUAUGUUGACAAUUAUCAUGAACCCAUAUUAUAUUAUUACUAGGUAAAUUACCCGUGCUUCGCACGGAAUUGAACUAUUUUAUUAAGCUUACAUAUGAUCAUUCGAUAAUAUUCAUAUUUUCGAUACAUACACUACAUUGUCAAGAUCAUUUUAUCUUAAGGCAAAACGUUCCUCCAAAAUCUUAAAGUGCUAUAUUUUUUUAAUUUUCAUUUUUGUUAUACAAAUAUUAUGAGUCAUAGAUAGAUUUUAAGUAUAAGAAAGAAGUCUAAGAAAAUCUCCUUGGAAAUAGUUGGUCAGAAGUAAUGGAAUAUUUUUAAUUCCAAGAAGUUAUAAAGAACAACAUCAGACGUUAAUAAAGAGACCAAAAAAGGUCGAACAACAACACUUCCAAGUAAAGUGGAGUAUCACGUCCAUACAAGAUCAUAAUUAACUAAAUUCAAAUGGACGACCAUGGACUCCUUUCUUAUGAACCUCCAUCAAUCUCUUUUUUAUUAUUGUAUGCCAUAUCAAGUAUAUGCUAAAAAUGACCCUAAAAUUGUUAUUAUCAUAAAUGUUUUUUUGUCAUUGUCUCAAAAUAGUCAUUACUAUUUUAAAGGUUUCAUAUCACCGGCCCCAACUUAUUUGGAUUAAACCAUAGUUAUUGUUAUGGUUAUAGUAUGCAGUUACAAAAAAAUUAAUGCAAUUAUCAGCCAAGCAAUAGGUGACAUCUGAAUGUUCACAACGGGAUAUUCUAAACAAAAAAUUUGACACAUAACAUAUUAAAAUCUCACAACAUAAUUUUGUGAGCACUUGAACUCACAAAUAUCCUAAAAUAAUAAUAAAGACAAUCUUACUUUCCUAACAAUCAAGAAGAAAAAGGCUCGUUGCUUAAUAUAUUUUUCAAAAAGAUAGUCUUUCGGGUUGUAUCCAAGUUCACAGUUCACAAAUUUAGUUGAAAGAAGCCAAAAGAAAGAGUUAUUACUUCUUUAUCAAAAAAAUUUAAAACUUUAUCAAAAGAAUGAGUUAUCACUACAACAAAAAUGAUCUUUAACGAUAAUUAAUAGCUUAAUUAUCGCUAAAUAUGUAUUUUCAGAGGCAAUUGGUACUCUGUAUAAAUGUUCCUAAAGUCUAUAGCAACAUUGAAUCCAAUGACAGUUAAUUCAUGUCGGUAAAGGCUGUAGCACUCUUCGUGAACGUGCAUAUUUAUUGCCGAUAAAAAAUAUUUUUGUUGUAGUGUAUUUUGGACAUUUGUUAGUUUUAAGAAAACUUGAUCUCUUAUUAUGCCCAAAAAGAAGAGAAGAGGAAAUAUGACAAAUUAGUUAACUUGCGAUAAAUGAUGUGGACUAAUUGUCUCUAUACAAAUUUUCUAGGAAUAGUGCAAUGGCAUACAAAAUGUUUGUACCUAAGAAAAAACAAUCAAAAUAAUAUACUAACUGUGGCAAACAAGAGAGAAAUCAUUUUGGUUCUUUUAACAAACUUCAUCAUUGGUUCCGUACUAGUUAUCAGAUUUUUGUUGUUGUGUGCUAUCAAAUAUAGCACAACCCACAAGCAAUUUUCCCAAAAAGUAUAUGAAGAAAAACUGUAGAAAGGGACAAAAGAGAAGAUAAACUUUCAAUCAUCCUCAUUGAAAUUUUGAACAUAAUUAAAAAAAAAGUCACCAAAAUAGCAAAAAGAAAUUGCAAUAGAUACAUGAAUCACUAUGAUUUAUAGUAAAAAAUUAAGCUUCAUGAAAUAGGAGGAAAAAAACUUUGAGAAAUGAAAUGCACUUUAUAAGAAACUUAAUUAAUGUAUUUGAUUUCGAAAAAAAAUACAAAUAAUAGUGGUAGAAAUAAAAGAUUUGUUUACUAAAGAACCAAAUGUAAUGAAUUCAGUCAUCAACCAUUUCAGCAGUGUUAUGAGUUGUGCACUGAGAGAUCCAAGAGCAGUAAUGUCGCAUUGCAAUUGAAAUCAAUUUUCUUUGUUUAUAUGAAGAAACCUGUAGAAAGUGACAAAAGAGAGGAUCAAUUUUCAAUCAUCCCUGCUGAAACUUUAACAGAGUUAAAAAAAAGGUCACCAAAAUAGGAAAAUGAAAUUGCCAUAGUUACAUGAAUCACCAUGACUUACAAUAAAGAUUAAGAUCCAUGAAAACUUUUAGGAAUGAAAAAAAUUCCUAAAAACUUAAUUAAUGUAUUUGAAUUUGACUACCCUAUAGAGGGAAAAAAACCUACAAAUUAUAGUGGCAGGAAAUUCCUCUAUUUAUAGACAACAUAGAGUAGUGUGAACAAAUUUUUAUUGUGCCUUAUCCGAGAUGUCACAACUCUUUGGAAAAGUUACAACCCUUCAGAAAGGUCACAACCUUUCAUAAAAGUCAUAAUUUUUCAUAAAAGUUGCAACUCUUCAUAAAAGUCACAACUUUUCAUAAAAGUCACAGCUUUUAAUGAAAAGGGAAGGCUAGUUUUGGAAAUAAAUAAAAUUUAAAAGGGAAUCCUAGUUUAUGGUGGCGCCACGUAGGCGGGCCUAGGGUUCUCUUUUAUAUAAAUUUUUGAUUUUUGAUAUAUGAUUUUUACGUUUACCUUUUUUAUUCUUCUUUCUAUUUUUAUUCUUUCAUUAUUAAAUAUUCUAAAGUCUAACCUUUUGCAUUAUACAAAAUAUAUUGUUGGGUGUUAAUAAAAAUAUCAAAUUUAUUUUUUGGUGUAUUCUUUAAAUUACAAGCACUACAACAAACACUACAAUAAAAACAACUUGUUGCGGUUUCUGAACCUUUCAUAUAAUUCAUUAACAGGCCACCUACCACAAUUUUAUUUCCAUAAUCUAGGGUAUCUUGAUCUUAAAUUUAACUCCCUUCAGGGGCCACUAUCUUCAUCCAUUUGAAACAUGAGCAUACUUAGACUUGGGGAAAUUGAAUGUGCUUGAAGCAAUGAUUAAAUUAGAUGACGGAGACAAAGGUGAGAUCAAAUAUAUGGAACAAUUGAGUGAAUAUUCAAUGUAUGAAGAUUCAGUGAGUUUGGUGAUCAAAGGCCAUGAUACUGAGCUAGAAAAAAUCAACACAAUUAUGACAACCAUAGAUCUCUCAAGCAACCAUUUUGAAGGUGUCAUUCCAAAAAUACUAAAGGAUCUUGGCUCACUUCGGUUACUCAAUUUAUCACGUAACAAUCUCAAAGGUGAUAUUCCAAUGGAACUGGGGCAAUUGAAUGUGCUUGAAGCAAUGGAUCUGUCCUGGAAUCGGCUCACUGGAAAUAUUCCUACUGAAUUGACAAGACUAAAAUUUCUAGCAGUCUUAAACCUCUCUCAGAAUGUUCUUGUCGGUCCAAUUCCUCAAGGUCUACAAUUCAACACAUUUGGAAAUGACUCGUAUGGUGGCAACCUUGAUUUAUGUGGUCUUCCUUUAUCAAAGAAAUGUGGAACGAGUGGUUCAUCACAUGUUCCUCAACCAUCGGAGUCGUAUUUCUUUAGUGGAUUUACGUGGGAAUCAAGGCUACAGUUGUGGACUAGUUGUUGGAACUGUCAUGUGGAGCCUCAUGUUUAAAUAUCGUAAUCCAAAAUGGUUUGUGGAAUUUUUUGAUAGACUCAUGCCUCACAAAAGAAGAAGGCCAAAGAAGAGAGCUCAGAGACGACGGAUUUAAUGGAAGAUUGAGAGGGCCAACUUGUCUUUGUUUGAUUUUGUGGACUAGUUAGUGAACUUUUCUGGUUCUGUUUUUGUCUUUCUGUUUGUUGUUUUGUAUAUGUUUGAAAGAAACAUAAUUAUUAUAUGUGUGGUAUUUUAGUAUCAAUGGUUAUUCAAGUUAAGUCUAUUUCUGUUUCAAGUUGACAGAAGUGAUCUACACAGCCACUCAUUAGCUAUGUUACUUAGACUCUUCAAAAAUGUCAAUGGGUACGUGUUGGAUUCUUCAAAAGUAAUGCAAUUUUUAAGGAAUCAACAUGGGUGUCAUUAUAUUUUAGGAUAGUCGAAGCAACAUAACUCAUCUUUCUUAACAUUUUCUGUUUCUGUAUUUAUUUCUUUUAAAGAUCAUUGCUUUGAUCUUAAUGGCUUUCAACCCAUAUUAGGAACACUUGAAAUGGCUGAACUCAUACACACAGAGGAUAGAAACUAUUCAGCUGUUGACUGAAGUGAUCCACUUAUUAGUACAACAAAACAGGAAAAGGCUACAUCCACCUCUGGGGCUCAUGUUGUUCUGUUUCUUCAAAUGCAAAACACUCUCUAUCAGGAUUUUCUUUAUUUUCAAGGUUCGAAUCCGAAACCCUUGGUUCAAUUUUACCUGGAACCAUGCAUUUAGCAUAACUAUAUGUCCUAUUGCAUUAUAGUUAUUAUACAAAGUGGAAAAGUUCAAGGGAUAAUAACACCAUCUCAAAAGUCGGGUGUGUAACUGAAAAUCUAAAUCAACUUUAGGGGUAUACUUAGGGCUGUUCAAAACUGAACCAUAACCGAUAAGUCAAUCGCAAAAUUGACUUAUUGGUAUUGGAUUAUCGGAUUAACGGUUGGUCAACGGAUUAAAAUUUUAUAGUUAAUGGUGCGGGGCGGAUUACUCAAUGGUGCGGGCCGGAUCACUCAAUUUCCUUCUAGGGUAAACCAUUAACCUUUUAAAAAUUAUCGUAGUUAGGAUAUUUAUUAAGUAAAUACUAAUGCGCUUGCACCCUCAAAAUUUAGUUCACAUGUGUUGUCACGCCCUGAGCCUACACCCUGGACGUGGCGGGCACUCGAAGACCAUUGCUGGUCCCAAGCGAACUGUUGGCCUAGUUUACUUGACUCAGCGGAAGACUUAAACUAAACAAAGAUAAGUUCAUAUAAUAAAUUGGAAUGUUAUAAAGGAACAUUCAACUGGACAUUAAGGCAAACUCAAGUCUGAACAUGGAGUAAUGACAAUGAAAAAACUAAAAACUAACAUCUGACUGUCUAUGAAGCCUCUAAUAACAACUGAGAUGGAUGUUGGGAUAGACCCCACAACAUCCUAAUAAACUAAACUGGAAAGCAAUGAAAUGGAUCCUCCGGAAAGCAAGGAGGCUCACCAACAGACUCUGGACUGCUCACUGGAUCAACGAUGCGUCAGGAUGCCGAUCCUAGUUACCUGUGUUUGCAUCAUAAUACGAUGCAGACCAACUGACAUCAGUACAUUGAGUGUACGAGUAUGCGAGUUGGAAUGCUAAAACAACAUAGACUAGAAAGAAUCUGAGAGAAACUGAAGAACUUACAUGACUCAACUCAACAUGACUGAACUCAUUUCAUUAUAAAUCAGUUUAAAAGCAAGUGCAAUAUAAAGAAAAGUUGUUUAAAAACAUGAUAUUAACUCUGUGUGUAUGCAAGAUACAAAUAACUCUGAGAUGUAUUUAAAAAUACAAUAAACUGAUGUAUAUAAAAAUACAAUAACUUCUGUGGGAGUUUCUCUAACCGACAACCACCACUUAUGAAACUAAGUGGUGAUACAACGUUUUACCUCACGUUACCCAAGGACCAUCNNNNNNNNNNNNNNNNNNNNNNNNNNNNNNNNNNNNNNNNNNNNNNNNNNNNNNNNNNNNNNNNNNNNNNNNNNNNNNNNNNNNNNNNNNNNNNNNNNNNNNNNNNNNNNNNNNNNNNNNNNNNNNNNNNNNNNNNNNNNNNNNNNNNNNNNNNNNNNNNNNNNNNNNNNNNNNNNNNNNNNNNNNNNNNNNNNNNNNNNNNNNNNNNNNNNNNNNNNNNNNNNNNNNNNNNNNNNNNNNNNNNNUUAUCCCGGGAUUAACUUACCUUAUCCCGGGAUUAACUUACCUUAUCCAUUACACCAAACGACCCCUAAGUCUUAAAACAAAGUUAAAAGCCUUUGCAAAAGACUUCUUGAAAAGACUCUAAGAAUUUCUUAGACUUGGCUCUUGACUUUCCUUGAAUUUAAAUUUAGGAAUUCAAGGUUAUGGUUUAUGUUUCUGGAUGAUUUCUAGACGUUUAGAAGUCAUUUAGAGUAGUUAGAAUCAAUGGAAAGUGUUAGUACACUUUAGAAGAACUUAAAUAGGCUAGACGACGGAAAACUGACGAAAAACGACGAUUUGGGCGCAUCCCGGGCGCGCUGCGCCAGCCCCAACUUACUGGGGCUCAAAUCUGGCGCACUGUUGGCGCGCUGCCCCAUCCCCUCGGGCGCAUCUGGGGCGCGUUGCGCCAGCCUCCCUUCAAGCAAAAUUCUAACGAACUUUUGCUCUCGUUUUCUGAUCCUAAAUCGUUUUAAUCUAAUUCUUUUUCUCAAUUUCACUUUAGAUUUAUGUACCCAAAUCAUAUACACAAGGAUCUAACUCAAGGAACUCAAGAACUAACAACUUAGUCAUCAAGAACUCCUAAAACUCAACUCAUGUUCAAGAACAAAAGUAAUUCAAGAACCACAUUCAAUAACAUUCAAAAUCCAAUCUUUUUGAAAUGAAAUCGCUGAAUCAAACAUGCUUGGCACGUGGGUAAACGAACCCAACAUUGAGAUAGACUCACAUACCUUAAUUGAUUGAAUCCUCGGCCAAAUUCGCAAGCAAUUCCUUACGACGACAACGAAUCUAGCUUUUUCCUCCUUUGUCUUUUCUUGCGUUCUUCCUCCAAAACCCUAGUUCUAUUUGGUAAAUGUCUAAACUGAUUUAAUUCAGCUUAGACCCCUAAUUAAUUACCAAAAAUGAAUUAAAAUAAAAGGGUAAGGAAAAGACCAAACUACCCUUUAAAAUCCGGAUUGGACAUUUCCUUAAUCCAACAACCCAACUUCCAAAGGGAAUAUCUCACUCAUAUGAACUCGUAAUCGUGCAAACUUGGCGGCGUUGGAAAGAUAAUUCCAAGAGCUUUACAAUUAUACCUGGAAGUACACCUAACUCAUCUUGAUCUAGGAGUUAUCUCCGUUUGAAGUUGGCCCAAAAAUCAACUUUUCUUAACUUAAACAAAUUUUCCAGAUUUUUGUUAUUUCCAAAAAAAAUGACUAUUUCAACUUCUUAGCUUCUUCCUAGUUAUUUCAAUUUGUGAGAUGUUACAUGUGUCUCACUGUGAUUUACAAUUACUGAAUUACCAGCUUAAGUAGGGCUAGAAAAAAAUGUUUUGUUUGAUGGGAGAUCAAUCUAAUUGUGAUUGAAAGUGAAAGAAGGGAGCACGGAAUGUUGGAGCCAAUACACCAACCGAUAACCAUCCAUUAAUUCCUAACCCGAUACCGAGUCAACCGAUAGCUUAUCCAUUGGCUAGCAGAUUAAUUUCUUUCUCGUGUUUGUAAUUUUAUCUUGUUUUAUUUUUUCUUUCACUUAGACUCCAUAUUUAUUUAUUAAGAAAUUAAUUAAAUAUAUAAUUAUGAAUUUGGUAAUUAGAAUGAGUUGUGAGAGUUAAACGAUAAAUUCAAAAUUUAUAGAAAUCAAAUUUUGGCUCCAUUUCUGAAAGGUGAGGUAAAGAUAGGGCUUGGAGUUUAUGAAAUCUAGAUUUUAGAAAAAGACCGCACCUUAAUAGGCUUUUGAUAGAUUAUUUGAAAAUUUUAAAUAUUAAUAUAUGAUUUGAGCUGAAGUUACUAAACACUUUUCGAACCCAAGCUAUACUUCUUUCUCAGGGUAUACCCUCCACAACUUCACUCUUAAUCAUAUAUUUUGACUUUGAAUCAUUCUAGUACUAGAAUAAGGAUAAUCAGCUAGGCAAUUAAGCAACACUUUCUGGCAUGGUGGUACAACUGCCAACAACUAGAAACAUUUUUCAUAUUUCUUAAAUUCAAUCAAUGUAGUAACUUGUAAACUUAAGUUUCAUAGUUAAGAUAUGGUAAAAAAAAUAAAAAUAAUAUCUCUUUUAUUGAGUAAGGUAUAAUCUACAGAAAUUUUUAUGGGCCUCAAAAAUGGGCUGCUCCUUUUAAACAUGGGAUGGGCUUCUCUUCUCUUAAUGGGCCUUAUGCUGCACGAGCCUGUAUUAGUUGGAGCUCCGAAACAGGAAUAGAACACCGGGUUAAGGAUUUGAAAAUUAUCUUUCCAAAUGACAUUCAAGCUAGGUGCUCUAAUAUAUUUUACUCGCUUUCCUUAACUUCCUUGAUUUAUCUUUAUCUAUACUGACAGUGUAAAACUUAUCACUUAUAAUAGUUAACACGUUAUUUUCCUGAUUUCAAAUUAUUAAUCUCAUGAAGUUUCACUUAUAGUUACUUUUAGAUGACUUGAUAGUGAAAAAAAAUAUUCUUUGAAACUUUGUUUCAAAUUGUCUAGCAUACAAUUAUCCCAGAACAAUGUAGGGGCGGAUCUAGUGAAGCAGCUACGAGUUCAUUCGAACCAAGUAGCUUUGCUUAAGACUCUUUAUAUAUGUUAAAAAAUGAAUUACAUAUUUUUCAACCUUUCAAAAUAAAUGGUACUUGUAUUGUUACCAUGUAGUACCUAAGUGUAAUGGUUACGCAUAAUUUGUAAAUUUUGUAAUGAAGGGUCUAUCGGAAACAACCUCUCUUCUCUACCUCCACAAGUUAUGAUAAGGUCUGCAUACACACUACCCUCCUCCUCAGACCGCACUUGUGGGAUUACAUUGAGUAUGUUGUUGUUUGUUCAUUUAGUUGUUGUGAAAAACUAUAAGAUAGUACCAUUUUUUGUUGUGUGUUACACAUGAUUCAGUCCUUAAGACAGCAAAGCUGGUCUUCUGUAGGAGAUAUUUGUCUCAAGUUCACAUUUGAUAUGUGUUACACAUGGUUCUAUAUAUGUGGAUAGGAAAAAUCUAUGUAGGAGAUAUUUGUCUUAAAUAACAUCACCAUUGAUGCUGGAAUACAAAUCACUUUCCCUAGCCUAGAAGUUUUGCAGUUUUCUUGUAAACUGAAGGAUUUUUCACACUUGUUGAGAAAUGUAAAGACAUUUGUGUACUUGGAUAUUUCUGCUCCCAAUUGCACACGCAAAUGUAUGUGGUCGCGGAAGAAAUAUAGUGACUCUUAACAGAAUCGGAUUAUAUAUCGAACCCAAAAGACUUGUCAAUUAACUAUUUUACUAAAUUAUACUGGUCUAAUUAUUUAUUUAAGAGUGCCAAAAGAAUUGACUUUUAUUUAAAUACUAAGAAUGCAAGAAUUAAAUAAUAAAAUUACUUACAAUGGUUGGAAAAUUUCAGGGCCGCAACAUGCAUAGGGUUCAUGUAUCACAUCUCAUGCAUGAAUUAACUACAGUUAUCAAAUUACUGAUUUACACGGUUGAUUUUAUGAUCGAUCAUGGUCUUCCGACCUCUAAUCGUCUACUCAAUUUAGUUGUUUAACUACAUCGUUGAGUGAGGAUAGACAGUCCUAAUUGACGAGCAUUUAUAUUUCCUCAUGUUUUGUGACCAAGCUAGGUGUUCGUCUGAGCGUCAUUCCUAAACACAAAUCAACUCAAUUUAAUGGAAGAUCAACCUUUUUGUAUCCAUUGGUCUAUCUACCUUAGUGUCUCCUGAUUUUAAGAGUAGACAAUAGAUUUAUCUCUAUGAUGGCCAGUCAAGAAAUACUAAAACAAGAAUACAAAAGUAAUUUAAGCGAUAAUCGAUGUUCAACACUUACACAUAGCUACAACCCUAGAACAAGGGCCUUUAACUACUAAUGUCUAAGAAAAUAUAUAGAAGCCUAAAAAGUAUUGACAACUUUAUAGUUAUACCUAUGAUUCAUCUCCCCCAAUAAUUAUUUCUAUGAACUAUUUAUAGAUAUAGAAAAUUCCAAAUAAAAUAACUGAGUCCAAAACAAAUCGGAAAAUCAAAACCAAACGGAAUUUGACUUCCACGUCAACAAUGGUCGUCCAACUGCCUCAAUUCUCUUUGCUGCCUUCAGAAUCAGCCACGUGGCAACUAAUGUAGGUAAACUUCAUUAAUUUCCUUUCUUUGUACGUUUGAAUGAAUAUUAAGUUGUCUGCUUGAUUUUCUUCUAUAAUCUUUCAUCUUUAAUUCGUUUUAGGUCCAAAUUUUUUCAUCUUCACACCAAUUUAAUCUUAUAAAUAAAAUACACUACUUAGCAUAAUUCAUAAAAUUCAUGCUAAAAAAGGACAAAUAUAUAUAAUAAAUGUAAGGUAAAUAAUGAUUAAAAUAUAUAUUUUUAGCCUCAUAUCAAUAAGAUUCGUGGUCAAAUCCCUAACUGGUUUAAUGGCAUGAGGUGGGGUUCGUAAACCUUUCACAUAAUUCAUUAACAGGCCACCUACCAAAAUUUCAUUACCAUAAUGUAGAGUAUCUUGAUCUUAAAUUUAACUCCCUUCGGGGUCCACUACCUUCAUCCAUAUGUAACCUAAUAUAUAUUCCUUUAACAAUCUGUACAUUGAAGCAACUCACACUUUUAGAUCUUUGGAGGAGAAAUUCCUGCAUUUGAAAGUUCGAUUUUUUUGUGUUUGCCGUAGCAGUGGACUUAUAGGCCUAUUCAUCCUUGUAAUGAAAAUUGAACAUGAAUGAAAAUAAAAACCAAAUGAAAGAAAAAAAAUAUGGAGUAUAUAUUAUUUUGUUAGGUCUUCUUCGUCCUCUAACAAACACUACAAAAUAUGAGUAAUAAGUUGUUAGAAGUGAGUAGUACUCAUCUAUGGACCACAAGUUGCGUACCAUUUAUGAUUGUAUAGAUUCCAUGGAAAAAUUGCAUAGAAAUUUAAUGCAUUUGUACAACUUGGUUUCCUCUAUUCCGAAUGUACAAUAAUUGUUCUCACAAUUGGUUCAAUGACGCGUUUUGACCUUUUAUGAUUAUAUAGAUUCCGUGGAAAAAUUGUACUAAAAUUUAUUGCAUUCAUACAACUUGGUUUCACUUGAUUAAAGGGACCAAUUUCACAUCAUCUUGCUUAACACAUACUGCAGAGAUAGUCGAUCUAUGACCUCGAAAUGAACAACAACAUCUAGAGAAAAUGAGGACAUAGUGAGUAUUAUAUUGUUAAGUCUUCUUCGUGCUCUAAAAAAUCUCGUGAAACACUACAAAAUAUGUGUAACAUGUUGUUAUAAGUGACUAGUACUUAUUCAUGAAGUACAGGUGACUUUGAGUCUUCCUGGAAAUUGACUUUAACACUUAGGAUGUGUUUCUUUUCUUUCGUUAAUUUGUACCUCAUAGUCCCAUGCAUAGACAAGUCAGCAAUGCUACUUUAUGAAAUAUCGUUUAGUUAAUUAAUUGUUCACAUUAUUUAAUGUGGAGGUCGUUAUAACAAUUAAGAGAUGAAAUGGUGUUUAGUUAAUUAUAUCAUCAUUUCUUACGUGACUACUUAUUUUAUUAACUUAUUUAUAUCUGGGCAAUUAUCAUGAACCCGCAUUAUUAUUUUUACGUUUAUCUUUUUUAUUCUUUCAUUAUUAAAUACUCUAAAGUCUAUCAAACGGUAAAACCUUUUGAAUUAUACAAACAAUAUUGUUGGGUGUUAAUAAAAAGAUCAAUCUGUUUUUUGGUGUAUUCUUUAAAUUACAAGCACUAUAACAAAAACAACUUUUAGCUCAAAAGUCACUUAACUAUGAAUUCUUUUCUCAAAAAGUCACUCAACAUUGAAUUUUAACACAAAUAUCACUCAAUUAUGAGUGGUUUACUUACAAAGUCACUCAAUUAUGAUUGUUUUACUUACAAAGUCUGUUAACAUAUUUAAUUGUUUUUUUAAUUAAAAUUUGUUGGUAUAAUUUUCUUAUUUAAAAUUAAUAUUUUAAAAAAAAGUAAUAUCCAUUAAAUAAUUUAAUGAUCUGCCCCGCUAAAAAUAUAAUAUUGAUUUUUUUUUUAAUUGGAAUUCAAGAAUAAUACGGGAAUAAAUUAUUCCAUGCAUCAGAAUUCUAAGCAUUAUGAGGAAUAAAUUAAUUUCCUCUUCAUCCCCUCCCCCUUUCUCAGUUGCUGCCUCUUCUUCCUCUUUUAGUUUUUUUAAUUGGAAUUCAAAAAUAAUACUGGAAUAAUUUCAUGCAUCAGAAUUCCUAAAGCAGAGGAGAAAGAAUCCGACAAUAAUUUAGGAGAAUUAGCGGUAAAAUAAAAUGGGUCAAUAUUAUAUUUUUAGGAGGUCAUUCAUUAAAUGAUUUAAAUGAAUAUUUUUUUAUUUUUUAAAAUAUUGCUUUUAAUAAAAUUUUAUACCAGCAAAUUUAAUUAAAAAAUUAACUAAAUAGGUCAAAUGACUUUGUAAGUAAAAUACUUAUAGUUGAGUGACUUUGUAAGUAAAACACUCAUCAUUGAGUGACCUUUUAGUUAAAAUUCAAGUUGAGUGACUUUCUGAGAAAAGAAGUCAUAGUUGAGUGACUUUCUGAGAAAAAAAAUUCAUAGUUGAGUGACUUUCUGAGAGAGUAGUGCAUAACUGAGUGACAAUAUUAUAUUACGUGGUUUUGAGUAAGUUUUAUUAUUCUAACUUUAUAUUAUAUAUUUUUUCAUUGAAAAUUUUCGUUGUUUGUAUUCUUACUUCAUAAUGGUCUAUGACUUUGUGUACAUCCUACCUUCUUGAAACUUUACUUGUAGGAUUACAUUAAUCAGUAUGUUAUAAGUAUUCAAUUUAUGUUCGAGUAAUCAACACCAAAUAUUUGGGCAUAUCCCUUGACAACAAGCCUAGCCUUGUAUUUAUUGAUAGAACCAUCAGAAUUGAGCUUGGUUCUAAACACCCAUUUUACUCCAAUGACCUUCAUAUCUUUCAGUCGGUCGACUAACUCCCAAGUUUUGUUUUUCUUGAUCAUUAGCAUCUCCUGCUCCAUUGGCGUUUUCUCCAUUUUUUAUCUUGAAGUGCUUCAUCGUGCCCUGCAGGCUCACAAACUGCCACAUUACUUUGUUGGUAGAUGUCAGAGAGUAGUCUUGUACCUCUAAUUGGAAGAUCAUCCACCAACUCAUUUUUCCAGUGAUCCGAUGCCUGCUCCUCUGAAGCUUUGACUGAAAGUUGAUUGUCCUUCCAGUCCCAUUUCUCUUCAUCAACAAAGUGCACAUCUCUACUGACAAUCAUCUUCCCUGUUUGUGGAUUAUAUACUUUGUAGGCCUUGGAGGAUGAGCUACAACCCACAAAUAUUCCAGGAAGUGCCUUCUUGUCAAGUUUGUCUCUUUUAACCUGUGGCACAUGGAAGAAACAAACACAACCAAAUACUUUAGUGAAGCUUAGUGAUGGUUUGUAUCCAUUCCAAGCCUCAAAUGGAGUUUUAUUCAACAAUGCUUUAGUAGGAAGCUGAUUUUGGAGAAAUAUUGCCGUAUUAGCUGCCUCAGUCCAAAAACUUUUCGGCAACUCUUUUUCAUGCAACAUGCACCGCGACAUCUCCAUUAUAUAUCUGUUUCUCUUUUCACUAACUCCAUUUUGUUGCGGAGUAUAUGGAGCAGUAAGCUGAUGAGUAAUACCCGCUUUCUCACAAAAUUUGUUAAAUUGUUCAAAAUUAUACUCUUUUCCAUUGUCAGACCACAGAGAUUGGAUUCUGCAACCACUUUGAUUUUCCACCAUCUUCUUGAACUUCAAGAAAAUUCCAGCCACUUCUGAUUUAUAUUUCAUAAAAAAAAUCCAGCAGAAUCUUGUAUAGUCGUCAAUGAAUAUAACGUAGUAUAGACUACCAUUAAGGGAUGGUGUUCUUUGAGGUCCUGCAACAUCUGUGUGAAUCAGUUGCAACCUUUGAGAAGUCCGCCAUGUUGCUUUAGGAAAUGACUUCUUAUUCUGCUUACCAAAUUGACAAGCUUGACAACUUGGUAAGUGAUCAACUAGAGUUGGUAGUCCUCUUGUCAUAUCUUCCUUCUCCAGCAACAAUAGUGCUUGUAGAUGGCAAUGGCCAAGUCUCUUGUGCCAGGUUUCCGUUACACUUGCCUUCAUGGAAUAAGCUAGUCACUCUUUCUCUGUUGGAUCAAAGGAAAAAAUCCUUCCUCUCAUCUUCACCCUGAAAAUUUCAUUUCCAGUAGUGUCACUGAUUUGACAGUGAUGAUCUUCGAAGAAAACCUUGAAUUCUUUUUCCAUCAGAUGUCCUACGCUUAGCAAAUUCUGAUCAAUUUCAAGAACAUACAGAACCUCUGAAAUUUUCUUUGUGCCAGUGCUCGUCUUGAUAGCUAUGGUUCCAAUUCCUUUGACAGGAAGGUGAUCUCCAGUUCCUAUCCAAACCUUCGAAAUUUCAGUGGGCUUCAACUCCUUGAAUAAACUCUCGUCAUGAGUCAUGUGGUUAGUGCAACCUGUAGUAUCCGGAAAUUUGAAAAUAGCUAUGACGAGGCUGAGAAUUGGAAAUAGUCACUUUUUGGAAAGAAUUCAAAUCUGGAAAUUUGGUUAAGUGUGGGAAAAAAAUGAGUUUUUGGCCAACUUUGAACAGUCAUAACUCCUAGAUCAGGAUAAGUUAGGUGUAGUUCCAGUUAUUUUUGCGAAGCCCUUGGAAUGAUCUUUCCAACACUGCCGAGUUUGCUCGAUUCCGAGUUUGUAUGAGUGAGUUAUGCCCUUUGGAAGUUGGGUUGUUGGUAUAGGAAAGUUCACCCGAAAUUGUAAGGGUAUUUUGGUCUUUUCCCUAACCAAUUCUUUUGGUUAUAUUAGUGUGUUAGACUGAUUUUGGAUUAGUUUUUCCCAUUUUAAAGAGUAAGAGAGAGGGUUUGUGAGUGAAGAGGAGAAGAAGAGGAGAAAGAGGGGAUCAAGCAAGGAUUCAUCAAAGAUCGUCGUGGAUAUCGUCGGGGGUGAUCCCUACUAGGUAUGUGAGUUCAUAGUGUUGGGUUGGUUCUUUCCCCCACACGCCAAUCUCGUUUUAAUUUCGAGAAAAGAUUGAUUGUGUUUGUUGAAGUUGUUGGUUGUGAUUGUGUUGAAGUUCUUGUUGAUUUGGGCAUGUUUUCGGUUGUGUUUCUGGGUUAAAUAUAUUGUAUGUUGAGGGGUUUUAUGAUAUUAAGUGUUUGGGGCUGGAAACUUUGAAGUUGGGAAGGUUUAGAAUUGGAAAAACAAGGAAGAAAAGUCGAAUUUUCGAGGGAAAAGGGGUGGGCCAUCGCGCCUGCCAGCGCGCCCCAAAAGGGGUUCUGAACUUUCCCCCUUGGGGCGGCGCACCUAGCAGCGCGCCAGCAGGCCCCUCUGAAGUUUUAGGGCUGGCGCCCCGCGCCUCUCAGAGCAACAAGGACGCCAACCUUUCCCAUUCAUUCCCCACAUUUUCAUGCAUGUUCCUUAGUAUUGUACUUAUGUUUCAUAGUUGUUUCCAACACUCCAAGGUACGUCUAAACGUCAAGAACUCAUCGAUAAACAUGUGAUCAUAUACCUUGAAUCCAUAAUCCAAUUCAAGGCGAGUUAGGAUCAAGUCAAAGUGAAGUUAAGGGUCAAGUCUAGAAGUUAAGAAGCAAGUCAAAGCAAGUUUUCAAAGGUGUUCAAGAGUCUUUAUUGAACGUUCUAACUUCAUUUUAAGGCUCAAGUUUCAAGUCAAGUAAAGAGUAUAGAGCUUCAAGCUAAGUAAAGAGUCUCAGGUUUCAAGUUAAGUCAAGAGUAUAAAGUUGAGUUCAUUUCUCAAAAACUAUUAGGGACCUAAGUAUUCCCAAAGACGUUUAUAAAUGUUUUUACAUUUGAGUAAGAAGGGAACCAUGUUCUCCAAAAAGAGCCUUUGGGCUAAGUUUGAGUAAUUAUCUCAACUAAAGAAAGAUUUGUUUAAAACACUUAUGAGCUAAAAUAUAUUUUUGGGAGUAGUCUUGAGCACCGAGUUGGGGACAUGAGUUCAUAUUAACUCAACUCUCCAUAAGAACCAUGUGGCCAACAUGGGAUUUAACGGGUCAUACUUUUUAGAUAAUCACGUAAGUUAAGCUAGUGGAUCCACUUAGUAAAGUUAGCUUCCUAUAUCACGGCAAGGUAUAGGAUGGGCCUCGGCAGUGCGAGGUAAAGCGCUGUAUCAUCACUAUAGUUCUUAAAUGAUGGUUGUCGGAUAGAGAAACUCCCACAGCAGUAGAAAGUGCUUGGUUCCUCGAGGAGUUCUGCUUAGUAUGAAUGGGGGUAUGGGACUUCAUUCAUACAUUGCACAAGUAGACCUUGAGAGGAAGCAUGGUAUUUUCAUGAUAUUAAAAAUAUGAUUUUUACGUCAUGUUUUAAGAGUUUUACAAGCUUUAUAUAUUGCAUGUGUCUUAUUGCUUUAUAUAUUGAGUUCAGUUAUUCAUGAGUCCUCCUUGCUUUCCAUAGGACUCGGUUAUUUUGUGUUCUUAGUUUUGUUUUAUUAGGGUGUUGCGGGGUCUGUCCCAACAUCCAUCUCAGUAUUUUUAGAGGCUUCACAGACAGUCAGUCAGUAAGUUUUGAGUCUCUCAUCUAUGUAUAUAUAUAAUAUUCUAUUUUGAGACGCGAGUUGCUUUUUUGGCUAGCUUUUGUCAGUUAGGUUGUUUUAUGACCUUUCAUUGCAUUGAGUUAUGCUGUUGAGUUAAGUUUCUGUUGAGUUAAGAAAAGCCAGGCCAAGGGUUCGCUUGGGGGCCAACAAUGGUGUUCGAGUGCCGGCCACGUCCAGGGUGUAGGUUCGGGGCGUGACACAACCACUGUCAACUAACCAAGAAUCUGUUGAGCUCUUACUUGAAAAGCAUGUUGCAAUAAAAGGAUGAUCUUCUUCUUCUUGAUCAACAACUUGAGCAUUUCCUUCCUCCUGCGGGGCCUAAUUCUUGCAAAUCACUGCUUCGUGUCCAAGCUUAUUGCAUUUCUUACAUUUAGCAUCAAGUCUCUUCCAACACUUGAAUGGUGCAUGGCCUUUUCUUCCACAAUGGUGACAAGGGGGAUAACUUUUUUUCGCACUUCCUCCCUUAGUUUUGUUGUUGGCUGAUGUUUCUCCUUCACACACUGCUUGAUUCUUUUUCUUCUUCUGAAUUUUGUUAACCUGAUGCUUACUGACAAGUGCCCCUUCUGUUGUAACCUCCUGUCUCAUGAGUCUUCUUUGCUCUUGAGCUUUCAGGGAAUUGAGCAACUCUGUCAAACUAAUCUUUGACAAAUCCUUAGUAUUUUAUAAGGUUGUAAUUGUUGCUUCAUACCUUUCAGGAACUGUUACAAGGAUCUUCUCAACAAUUCUCGAGUCUGAAAAUGUAGAGCCGAGUAGCCUCACCUUUUUUGCAAUAUUUAGAAGUCUAUCCGAAUAUUCCUUCACUGUUUCAGAUUCCUUCAUUUUUUGCAAUUCAAACUCCCUAAUUAAGUUUAAAACUUGCAUACCUUUUAUUCUCUCAUCUCCAGAAUACUCUUCCUUAAGAUAAUCCCAUACUUCUUUAGCAGUUUUCAGAGACAUUAUUCGCGUGAAAACUAUUGACGAUACAACAGCAAAUAAACAUGCCUUGGCCUUCGAUUUCUUUGUCUUCUGUUCCUUGUGUGCUUUAAUCUGAGCAAUGGUAGGAUUAUUUGGUAGGGCUGGAAUAUCGUAAUCCUCUUCCACAGCUUCCCAGAGAUCCAAAGCAUCCAAGUACGUCUCCAUUCAUACUGCCCAAAUCUGAUAAUUAUCUCCAUCAAAGACCGGCGGAGCAAUUGGUGAGAAACUUGCUUCAGCAUCCAUGGCUACUCCAACUCGAUCACAAAUCCCUUAAGAUGAAAGCUCUGAUACCAACUGUUUUUAGUAAGACUAAUGACAGAUAACACAAUGAAGACAAUGUCUAGUUUGCUACAGAAAGGAAAGCAGGAGAAUACAAGGAAUUUAAAUGUGAAGAUAACUAAGAGAAAAGCUUAUGCAGAAAGUUGUAUUUCAGUAAAAUCAACCAAAAAUACAUAAACAUACAAUUAAGUAACUGAUAUAGAUCAUGGUCCUACUUUUAAGUCAUGGUACUAACCAUGGUAACUACCCCUAAAAUAACUGAAAAAAGAAAUACAGGAAACUUAGAAAUAGAUCCUGCAGUCCUAAAGCAACUAACUAAUAGUCGUAAAUGGUAAUCGAUUUGAAGGACCUGUCCCUGUGUCGUUGCUCAAAUGUCAUAAUUUAGAAGUUCUUGAUGUGGGGAACAAUGCUAUAAAUGACACGUUUCCAUCUUGGCUUGAAAUUCUUCAAGAGCUGCAGGUCCUUAUAUUAAAGUCGAACAAGUUCCAUGGACCUAUAAGUACGUGUCAAACUAAGUUUUGCUUUCCCAAGUUGCGAAUUUUUUAUUUUUCUCGUAAUGAUUUCAGUGGCUCACUUCCUGCAAAAGUUUUUGGAAACUUCAAGGCAAUGAUCAAAUUAGAUGACGAAGACACAAGAGAGAUCAGGUACAUGGAAUCUAUGUCGAAUUUGUCAUCUAUCGCAUCGUAUGAGGAAUCAGUGAGUUUGGUAAUCAAAGGGCACGUUAUUGAGCUACAAAGAAUCAGCACAAUUAUGACAACCAUAGAUCUCUCAAGCAACCAUUUUGAAGGUGUCAUUCCGGAAACACUAAAAGAUCUCAGCUCACUUUGGCUACUCAAUUUAUCCCAUAACAAUCUCAUAGGUCAUAUUCCAAUGGAAUUGGGGCAAUUGAAUACACUUGAAGCUUUAGAUCUCUCCUGGAAUUGGCUCACUGGAAAGAUUCCGCAGGAAUUAACAAGAAUGAACUUUCUGGCCUUCUUAAACAUCUCUCAAAAUCAUCUCGUCGGACCAAUUCCUCACAGUCUACAGUUCAACACAUUUGAAAAUGACUCGUAUGGCGGCAACCUUGAUUUAUGUGGUCCUCCUUUAUCAAAACAAUGUGGAACGAGAGAUUCAUCACAUGUUCCUCAAGCAUUGGAGUCCUAUUUUUUUAGUGGAUUUACAUGGGAAUCAGUAGUCAUAGGCUACAGUUUUGGACUAGUUGUUGGAACUGUCAUGUGGAGUCUCAUGUUUAAAUAUCGUAAGCCAAAAUGGUUAGUGGAAUUUUUUGAUGGACUCAUGCCUCAGAAAAGAAGAAGGCCAAAGAAGAGAGCUCAGAGACGACGGACUUAAUGGAAGAUUGAGAGGGGCCAACUUGUCUUUGUUUGAUUUUGUGGACUAAUUAGUGAACUUCUCUGGUUCUGUUUUUGUCUUUUUAAUAUUCUGUUUGUUGUUUGUAUAUGUUUGAUAGAAACAUAAUUAUAUAUGAGUUAUUUUAGUAUCAAUGGUUAUUCAAGUUAUGUUUCUGUUUCAAGUUGACAUAAGUGAUCCACACACCAAACUUAUUAAUUAGCUAUGAUACCCGGACUUUUCAAAAAUGCCAACAGAUACUUGUUGGAUUCUUCAAAGUAUUGCAUUUCUCAAGGAACCAACACAGGUGCGACAUCAUUAUAUUUUAGGAGAGUCGGAGCAACAUAGUUCAUUAGUACAACAAAAAGGAAAAAGCAAAGCAGUAAGCACAUAGAGUUUGGUUCAUGAUUGAAAUCACUUGAUAUUAGAAAGUUCAUAUAUUCAGCAUAACUGCAUGUCCAUUUUACAUUACAGUUCUUCUUAUACAAACUAGAAAAGAAAAUCUUGUGUUUACAGAAACUGAAAAUUGAUUUUCUAUAAUGUAAUACAUUUGCAUUGACCACACUACCCUUUUGUCACAGUGUUUUAUAGGUUACGAAGUUUAAGAAAAAAAAGUAAGAUUUUUUAAAUUUGUGAUUUUGAAUAUGACGUGCGAUUUUUGUGGCUAUAUAUAAAAGUAUGAAGUGUUGAUCUUUUUUGAAAUAGAUUAAUAGGAAAUAGUGUUACGUAAAAUGAAAGACAGAAUGUACUAUAUAGUGUGAUAUUGAACCAGAUCUUGAGAUAUAUAGAGUGCAAACUAGCUAGCUGUAAAGUAUCAACUUUGUCCCCAUUAAGUUUUUUCUACUACAAAAAAACUAGAAAAGUGAAAAGUGUUGUGGAAAAUUAUAGAAUGUACCUAACAUGUUUGAAAACAACUAAUCAGGAAUUUCUGAUACAAUUUCUCUGCAAUCUUUAACAUUAAAUAUUGACCAAGUCAAGUCUCUCUGGUGGUGGAAUUAGAAUGUUGAAUUAGCUUUACUUUUAUUUCUUUCUUGUUUAACAUCUUAUAUUUAUAAAUAAAAUAAGGCAACAUGUCCUAUCAUUAUUAUACUAAAUUUAUUUUUCUUCUUGUUUAAGAGCUUAUAUUUCUGUAAAGAAUGUGUAUGCUAUAUUUUUACAUUUUUCACUUCUGAAUAAGUAGUAGUAUAUGAAUCUUGCAUAAUAUAACCUGCUUUUCCAAGAGGCCUUUGUGUAUUAAAUUUUUUGUAUCUAUUAUCUAGAUUAAGCUUCAUCUAGAUAAUGCAAAAACCGACUCUGGUUAGUCUUCGCGGAAAUUUGCCUAAAGACUUAGAAGUCAUCGUCUGAUAGUUGCAGUAAAGUACCCCUUUUUUCUUUGUUGCUUAAUUAAAUACGAGACGGUCCUAUGAAGAAUAAUGGAGUUUCCCUCAUUAACUUAAUGUGAAAACUCAUGUGUAACUAACAAGUUUGAAAACAGCACAAGAGACAACUAAUCAAACACCAACUUGGAAAUUUCUCAUAAUAGCUUUUAGGAACGCUUUGUAUAAUCCAAUGUUUUUUUGAGCUAUUGACUUAGUACAACACAACAGGAAAAGGCUGCAUCCACCUGUGGGGCUCAUGUUGUUCAUGGGUUAUUUAUCAGUCUAGACCUUAGUGGUAGUUAUCUUUAUGGAACUGUAGAGAAUAGCAGAAGAAAAGUAUAAUCUGCUAGCCCAAGAUCAUUAACUAUAAAAGAUCGGAAUAUUCAACUAAAGAAGAGGAAGCUAGAAAGAACUUGUUUAUGGAAUAAGACUCUUUUAUUUGGGUUGUUCUUGAGUUGUAUACAAAUGACUGAGGCCACCCCUAUUUAUACUUAUGUGGGGAUGGUUCUAGACAUUACAAGAUCUAGACUAUUUUCUACAGUGAGUGUUACAUACGGGACCAAUUUCACAUCAUCUUGCGUAACAAACAAUGCAGAAAUAGUUAAUGACCUCGAAAUGAACAACAACAUCUUGAGAAAAUGAGGACAUAAGGGGUAUUAUUUUGUUAAGUCUUCUCCGUCCUCUAAAAAGUCUUGUGGAACACUACAAAAUAUGAAGUAACAAGUUGUUAGAAGUGAGUAGUACUCAUCCAUGGACCACAAGUUGUGUAGUUAGUGAUGCCAAGGUUGUAUUAUUUUUUCUCCCUUUAUGCCAAAGUUGGACAAAAUGAAUAUUGUAUAUAUAAUUGGUACUAUCAAACAAAAUUUGAAGACUUGAGUCUUUCUGGAAAAUGACUUAAAACACUUUGGACAACUUUUUUGCAAUCACAAAUUAGUUAGUGGUAGAUGUGGGGGCAAAUACCCCAUUUUAUUUGUCUGGAUAUGUUUCAUUCUCUUUUUCUAUUCACACUUUUACAGUAAAGAUGAAAGAGAAAAUAAUUUAUGUGUGAACAAAUUAAAUAUACCACAACAUGAUUUUCUUAAAAAUAAAAAAAAUAAAAAAAGUAAUUUUUGUACAAGUAGGGAUAUAUGUGAAGCCACUUUUGUAACAACGGGUAUAUUAACUCUAAAAUGACAAAGUUGAGGGAUAUAUCAUGCCCUUUUCCUUAAUGUGCCUUGCAAUGAUAACAAUAUAAGUUGAAUAGGAUACAGUUCACUACAAUUAUACCACAAAAACAACUUUUUUGAUGUAGUGUCGAUCACUACACCUUUAUCUUGAGUCGAGGGUCUACGAAAACAGCCUCUCUACUACUUUGGUUAUUCUCCAUCUCUUUCAUGUUUGAACUGUAUCAUAUAGAUGGAGUUUCCCUCAUUAACUAAAUGUGAAAAGUCUUGGAAAACAACACAAGAGACAACUAAUCGGAAAUUUCUCAUAAAAUUUCUAAUUAUGCAGGAAAUUAAGACACAUAUCAAACAAAAUUUUGAAUAAAAAGCAAAUAAAAAAAUUAAAAAAAAAUUCCACACGGUAUUAUUGUUCAUUUUUUUCCUCACUUGACUUAGUCAAGAAAUAGUUUCUCUCAUUGGAAAUUUCUUAGAAGUUCAGCAAAAAACAAUUCCACAUAAUGGGACCAAAUUCACAUCAUCUUGCCUAACACACACUGCAGCGAUAGUUAAUGACCUCAAAAUGAACUCAACAUCUAGAGAAAAUUAGGACAUAAAGAGUAUUAUUUCGUUAAGUCUUCUCCGUACUCUAAAAAGUAUUGUGGAACACUACAAUAUAUGAGUAACAAGUUGAUUUUUAAUACCAUUGUUUAAUCUCCUUAAUGUUUUGAGUAAGAUUUGAUUUUUUUUUUUACGCGAUGCGUGACGCCUAGGCAGACGUGCCCUGAGUAAGAUUUGGUUAUUCUAACUUUAUAUUAUAUUUUUUCAUUGAAUUUUUUUGUUGUUUGUACUCUUCCUUCAUAAAGGUCUGUGUAUAUCCUACCUUCUUGAAACUUUACUCGUAAGAUUACAUUAAUCAUUAUGUUAUAGGUAUUCAAUAUACAUAGGACACUUAGAACUAGUAUAUAUAUGUAUGGAUGAUACUGACUGAUUUGUAAGAAGAACACAUCCAUCCUGAACACAAACAAACAAAAAAUGGUCAUGAGUCUGUUUUUCUUUUAUUCAUUUCUAUGUUUUGUGUUUUUAUUAAGUGAAUGCUUUUCUUCAUCCUUUGAUCAUCAUCUUUGCUCUCCCACUGAAGUUUCUGCUUUGCUUCAGUUUAAGCAAUCCUUUAAAAUAUCUGAUUACUCUACUCUUCAGUGUGAUACUUCUUUCCCAAAAACAAAGUCUUGGAAUGAGAGUAGGGAUUGCUGCAGUUGGGAUGGAGUCACUUGUGACUUAUUAAACGGUCAUGUUAUCGGGUUAGACCUUAGCUGUAGUCAGCUUCGUGGAAGUAUUCAUCCCAAUAGCAGCCUCUUCCAACUUCAUCAUCUCCAAACACUAAACCUUGCUUACAAUAACUUUUCAACUUCUUCAAUCUCACAUAACAUUGGCCGAUUGAGGAAUUUGAGGCAUCUCAACCUUUCUAAUUCUUUCUUUAGUGGGAAAAUCCCAACAGAAAUCUCAUUCCUUUCCAAUUUGGUUUCACUUGAUCUUUCUUAUAGUUAUGGAUUACAACUUGAUGAGAGAACAUUUGAAACAAUGCUUCACAACUUUACAAAUCUGGAGGUACUAGCUCUCUUUCUUGGCAACAUCUCGUCACCGAUACCUGUAAGUAUUCAUCCCAAUAGCAGCCUCUUCCAGCUUCAUCAUCUCCACACACUAAACCUUGUUAACAAUUUCUUUUAUCCUUCUUCAAUCCCAAAUGGCAUUGGCCGAUUGAGGAAUUUGAGGCAUCUAAAACUCUAUGAAUUUCAAGGGAAAAUCCCAACAGAAAUCUCACACCUUUCCAAUUUGGUUUCACUUGAUCUUUCUUAUAGUUAUGAAAAAUUACAACUUGAUGAGAGAACAUUUGAAGCAAUGUUUCAGAACUUGACAAAUCUGGAGCUACUUUCUCUCUAUGGUGUCAACAUCUCAUCUCCGAUACCUGUUAAUAUUUCUUCAUCCUUAAGGUACCUGGAUCUUGGAUAUACUAAUCUGCGAGGUGUUCUCACAGAGAGCUUUUUCCUUGUGCCAAACUUGGAAAUACUCAAAUUGAGUGGGAAUGAUCUUGUCAAAGGAGUUUUUCCAAAGAUCCACUGGAGCAACACUCUGUUAAUGGAGUUGGAUAUUUCAUCCACAGGCAUCUCUGGUGAGGUGCCUGAUUCAAUUGGCACCUUCAGUUCCUUGAAUAUCUUGAACCUUGCAGGAUGCCAAUUCUCUGGUUCCAUUCCUGAUUCCAUUAGCAACCAAACACAAAUUAGGGAGUUGAUUUUAUAUCAUAAUCAUUUCACUGGCCAUAUUCCUUCCACAAUCUCUAAAUUGAAGCACCUCACACGUUUGGAUCUUUCAAUUAACUCCUUUUCAGGUGAAAUUCCUGAUGUUUUCUCAAACCUCCAAGAGCUACGUACUUUACAUCUUUCUUAUAACAGCUUCAUCGGUUCGUUUCCCGCUUCAAUUUUAAGUUUGACACAUCUUGAAUACUUAGGAUUGUCGAGUAAUUCCCUAUCUGGCCCACUGCCUAGCAACCAAAGCAUGCUUCAAAAGCUAACCGAACUGAAUUUGUCAUACAACUCACUGAAUGGUACCAUACCAUCUUGGGUGUUUAGCCUACCUUUGCUAUCUUCAGUGUCGCUCCAACAUAACCGAUUCAGAGGACUAGCCGAUGAAGUGAUCAAAACAAACCCAACAUUAAAACAACUGCAAUUAAGCAAUAAUCAACUCAGUGGUUCUUUUCCUCAAUCACUUGUGAAUCUCACAAACCUUGAAACCCUUGGAAUUUCAUCAAAUAACAUCACCAUUGAUGGGGGAAUGAAUAUCACCUUUCAUAGACUAUCAUCUUUAUUCUUAUCAUCUUGUGAACUGAAGGAUUUUCCACACUUCUUGAGAAAUGUAAAGACACUUGUGUACUUGGAUAUUUCUAACAAUAAGAUUUGUGGUCAAAUCCCUAACUGGUUUAGUGGCAUGAGGUGGGACUCGUUGCAGUUCCUAAACCUUUCUCAAAAUUCAUUAACAGGCCACCUACCACAAUUUCGUUACGAUAACCUACAGUAUCUUGAUCUGAAAUUUAACUACCUUCAGGGUCCACUAGCUUUAUCCAUUUGUAACAUGAGGAAACUUAUCUUAUUAGAUUUAUCACACAACUACUUCAGUGACUCAGUUCCACAUUGCUUGGGAAGCAUGCCUAAUCUAACGGUGCUGGACUUAAGAAGGAACAAUUUCACAGGGAGUCUUCCCCCAUUAUGUGCACACAGCACUUCGUUGAGUACCAUUGUCAUAAAUGGUAAUCCUUCCUGCAAAAGUUUUUGGAAACUUCAAGGCAAUGAUCAAAUUAGAUGACGAAGACACAAGAGAGAUCAAGUACAUGAAAUCUACGUUGAAUGCGUUAGUUGUCAGAUCGUAUGAGGAUUCGGUGAGUUUGGUGAUCAAAGGGCAGGAUAUUGAGCUAGAAAGAAUCAGCACAAUUAUGACAACCAUAGAUCUCUCCUGGAAUCGGCUCAUUGGAAAGAUUCCGCAGGAAUUGACAAGAAUGAACUUUCUGGCUUUCUUAAACCUCUCUCAAAACCAUCUUGUCGGACCAAUUCCUCACGGUCUACAAUUCAACACAUUUGAAAAUGACUCGUAUGGUGGCAACCUUGAUCUAUGUGGUCUUCCUUUGACAAAGAAAUGUGGAACGAGUGAUUCAUCGCAUGUUCCUCAACAAUUGGAGUCCGAAGAAGAAGAAGGCGAGUCAUAUUUUUUAGUGGAUUUACAUGGGAAUCAGUAGUCAUAGGCUACAGUUUUGGACUAGUUGUUGGAACUGUCAUGUGGAGUCUCAUGUUUAAAUAUCGUAAGCCAAAAUGGUUUGUGGAAUUUUUUGAUGGACUCAUGCCUCAGAAAAGAAGAAGGCCAAAGAAGAGAGCUCAGAGACGAAGGAUUUAAUGGAGGAUUGAUAGGGCUAAUUUGUCUUUGUUUGAUUUUGUGGACUAAUUAGUGAACUGUUCUGCUUUUCCCUCAUUAACUAAAUGCGAAAAGUCUUGAAAAAACAGCACAAGUAUAGAAGAAGCAUGAAAUAGAAAGAGUAGCAUUGCUUAAUCAUCUAGUACUGCUGUAGCUUAUGGUAAUCACUAGUAAUUGAUGAAUCACACUUCAAGCAUAUCAUGAAUUUGGCUUAAAGACUUAGAAGUCAUCGUCUGCUAGUUAAUACGAGAUGGUCCUAUAUAUGAAGAAUAAUGGAGUUUCCCUCAUUAACUUAAUGUGAAAAGUCUUGUGUAUCUAACAAGUUAGAAUGUUCAAAUACUUUUAACUAUAUAGUUUUAUUAUUAUUUUGUAUUCUUCUGCUUUGCGUAUCAUCGAGUUUCUCUUACAUACUCUGAUCCCUGAUUUUGUAAGAAUAGAACAUCCCGUUAUUUGGUGAAUACAAAAAAAGAGUCUCUUUUUCUUUUAUUCAUUUCUCUGUUUUGUGUUGCUAAUAAGUCUAUGCUUUUCUUCUUCCCUUUGAGCAUCAUUUUUGCUCUCCCAAGUAGACACUUUAAAACAAAUAUAAAACAUUACAUUUUAAAAUAAAAUGACAAAAGUGAAUAAAUUAAUCAGUGGAUUUACGUGGGAAUCAGUGGUCAUAGGCUACAUUUCACUACAAGUCUACGAUAAAAAAUAACUUUAGCAGGCAAUAAAUAUACACAUUAACAAAGAGUGACUAAAACCUUUACUGGUAUUAAUUAAUUGUCAUUAGAUUCAAUGUCUCUAUAGGCUUUAGGGACACUUAUAAAAAGUGCUAAUUGCCUCUAAAAAUACAUGUUUAGUAGCGAUUAAGCUAUAGCCGUUAAUUAAUUACCCCUAAAGAUCAUUUUUGAUGUAGUGUAGAUCACUACACCUUUAUCUUGAGUCGAGAGUCUAUGGAAACAACACAAGAGACAACUAAUCGUCUAGAGAAAAUGAGUACAUAGGGGGUAUUAUUUUAUUAAGUCUUCUCCAUCCUCUAAAAAGUCUUGUGGAACACUACAAAAUAUGAAGUAACAAGUUGCUAGAAGUAAGUAGUACUCAUCCUGUAAUUCAAUUGUUCAUCAGUCCCGAUUCAUCAUAAUCUUUUUUUUUCCUCUAGUCUUAGUGGAAAUUGGCUCAAAGGCUUACAAGUCAUCGUCCGCUAGUUACAAUACUGUAUCACUUUUUUCCUUAGGUGGAAUAGAAUAUUGAUGGAUUUUCCCUCAUUAACUUAAAAAUGUGAAAACUAUAGUGUACCUAACAAGUUUGAAAAUAGCAGAAUUGACAACUAAUUACUAACUUGGAAUAUUGACAUUUUAUGAUUGUAUAAAUUCCAUAGAAAAAUUGCAUACAAAUUUAUUGCAUUCUCAUAAUUGGUUUCUCUAUUAACUGUUCUCAUAAUUGGUUCAAUGACACGUCUUGACAUUUUAUGAUUAUAUAAAUUCCGUAAAAAAAUGCACUAAAAUUUACUGCAUUCAUACAACUUGGUUUCGCUUGAUUAAAGUGUCCCUUCUUGUCUUAUGGAAGAUGAAAUGGAGUAACAUCAUGUCUUUAUUGUUCAUUUAUUAUUAUUUUUUUCUCAAUUGACUUGGUCAUACAAUAGUUUCUCUCUUUGAAAUGUAUUGUGGGAAACAGAAGAAGAGAUGUUGAUGGAAAGUUAGACAAGAAUGACUUAAAAUAGGAGUUCAAAUUUCUAUCUAUCCNNNNNNNNNNNNNNNNNNNNNNNNNNNNNNNNNNNNNNNNNNNNNNNNNNNNNNNNNNNNNNNNNNNNNNNNNNNNNNNNNNNNNNNNNNNNNNNNNNNNNNNNNNNNNNNNNNNNNNNNNNNNNNNNNNNNNNNNNNNNNNNNNNNNNNNNNNNNNNNNNNNNNNNNNNNNNNNNNNNNNNNNNNNNNNNNNNNNNNNNNNNNNNNNNNNNNNNNNNNNNNNNNNNNNNNNNNNNNNNNNNNNNNNNNNNNNNNNNNNNNNNNNNNNNNNNNNNNNNNNNNNNNNNNNNNNNNNNNNNNNNNNNNNNNNNNNNNNNNNNNNNNNNNNNNNNNNNNNNNNNNUAUUAUUAAGUAUGUUAAAAUAUAAUUAUUAAAAGAUAAAUUAAAAUUAUAAAACCACAAAUACCUAAUAAGAUGUACUAUCAAUUAUUGGUUAUAACUUUCUUGCACUUUAAUUUAAAUUAUAGAUUUAUUUAUAUUUUCAAUUAUUUUUUUAUAAGAACUUUUUAUGUAUAAUAUAAAUUUUGUCUACGUUUAAUAUGCUUAGCUAUGGAUAUUAUCUCAUAGAAAGUGUAAGCAUAAAAUUUUCAUGAUAUGUUGGGUGGUGGUGAUUUAUUUUAAAUAUAUAGUUUCACUUUUUAAGAGUUAAAUCAAAUGAACUUUAGCCAACAUUUAAGAUAUAUUUUUCUACCUUAUUGAUAUAACAUGAAAAGAUUAGCAUUUAUAAUGCUACGACUAAACACAAGUAGAAUAAAAUUUCAAAGAGCAACAAUAAAUGGGUGGGCACCAACAAAUUCAACUGGGCACUCUGAGUGGGGGAAUUAUAAUUGUGUUCAAGUGGUAUGUGAUAAAUCGUACAUAUGCUUCGUCAAUCAGCGGGAACCAACAAUCUAGUGAGAAAUUUCUCAAACCAGUCAUUCUUUUACAUGGAGAACCCACACUGGUGUUUGACUCCAAAGACAUAGAAGCGUUUAUCACGGAGGAGAAUUUAAAAUACGCUCUCAUUGCCAAAUUCUCACAUGGAAGGCCUGAACUUCCAGAUUUACCGAAAAUAUUGUCUCAACAAUUAGGAUUUAAGGGUGAAUGUAACAUUGGGUUAUUAGAAAGUCGGCACGUGUUGCUGUGGUUCACUUUAAAGGAAGAUUAUAUUGCAAUCUUUUCAAAAACUAGUAGGUCGAUUAAGUUCGCUGGUACUGUUAUACCAUUCAGAAUCCAAAAGUGGACUCCCUCUUUUAGUCCUAGGGAAGAAACCUCCAUUGCAAUGGCGUGGAUUUCUUUCCCAAGUUUACCCUGUCAAUAUUUUGCUUGUAAUGCUCUGUUUUCUAUGGCUUCGGCAGUUGGACAACCUCUUGAUGUGGAUUGAGCGACCUAUGAUAAAACACGACCUAGUACUGCAAGGGUAAAAGUCGUGGUGGAUCUUUUAAGGAUCCUUCCAAAAAGAAUUAGAGUUCAAUUCAAAGAUUUAGUCACUGGCGAAAUUACAAACGUAUGGCAAAAAAUCAGGUAUGAUUAUGUACCAUAUUAUUGUAAGAGAUGUAAUCAUCAGGGGCAUAGAGAAGCUGAUUGUCGAACUCUCCGAUGGUCAAGUUGAUGCCAUGGUCAGUGAAAAUCAUAUUGAAGGAGAAAAAUUUCAAGGAGAUCUUCAUGAUCAUCUCAAUUCCUAAAAAACUGAUUUAAACAGGCUGGAAAUUGGUGAAAAGGAUGAUGAAGAAACUGUUAAAGAUUUAGAUGUAGGGGCUGAAAAGAGUGGUGUUCAAAAUCAAAAUUUGGUGCGCCAAAAUUCUGGCCAGCGCCAAGGCAAAGCAAUGUUGGACGACUAUUCUUCAGGGAAUCAAGUAUUAUCCUUAAUUCCUCAAACUGGUGAGUCUUCGCGGCAAAGUUGUAAUUCAGUUGAUCAUGUCUUUAAUUAUUCUUUCAUUUUUUUUCCUCACUUGACUUAGUCAAGCAAUAGUUUCUCUCAUUGGAAAUUUCUUACAAGUUUUGCAGAAUUUUUUUCUACAUAAUGGGACCAAUUUCACAUCAUCUUGCGUUAGUAACACACAACAGAGAGAUAGUUAAUGACUUCGAAAUGAAUACAACAUCAGAGAAAAUUAGGACAUAGGGAGUAUUAUUUUGUUAAGUCUUCUCCGUCCUCUUACAAGUCUUGUGGAACAUUACAAAAUAUGAGUAACAAGUUGUUAGAAGUGACUAGUACUCAUCUUGUAAUUCAAUUGUUCAUCAGUCCCGAUUCAUCAUAAUCUUUUUUGUUCCUCUAGUCUUAGUGGAAAUUGGCUCAAAGGCUUACACGUCAUCGUCCGCUAGUUACAAUACUGUAUCACUUUUUUCCUUAGGUGGAAUCGAAUAUUGAUGGAUUUUCCCUCAUUAACUUAAAAAAUGGGAAAACUAUUGUGUACCUAACAAAUUUGAAAAUAGCAGAAGAGACAACUAAUUAUUAACUUGGAAUAUUGACCUUUUAUGAUUGUAUAAAUUGCAUAGAAAAAUUGCAUACAAAUUUUAUUGCAUUCUCAUAAUUGGUUUCUCUAUUAACUGUUCUCAUAAUUGGUUCAAUGGCGCGUCUUGACUUUUAUGAUUUUAUAGAUUUCGUGGAAAAAUUACACUAAAAUUUAUUGCAUUCAUACAAGUUGGUUUUGUUUGAUUAAAGUUUCCCUUCUUGUCAUAGGGAAGAUAAAAUAGAGUAACAUCAUGUCUUUAUUGCUCAUUUAUUUUUAUUUUUUUGUCAAUUGACUUGGUCAUACAAUAGUUUCUCUCUUUGAAAAGUAUUGUGGAAAACAGAAGAAGAGAUGUUGAUGGAAAGUUAGACAAGAAUGACUUAAAAUAGGAGUUCAAAUUCCUACCUAUCCAUCUAUACUAAUGUUAAAUUGCUAUAAUAUUUUCAACUUAAAAACUACUUAAUUUAGUAUAUUUUCUAUAAUUUAUAAUAUGUUAUAUUAUAUUUAUUUAUUUAAUUUAAAAUAUAGCGUAUUACAUGAUUUAGCAUUCACGUGCAAUGCACGUGCAUCAAAGCUAGUACUAUCUUAAAAACUAUGUUACUAGAUUAUUUUAAAAUGUCAACAGGUACAUGUUAGAUUCUUCAAAAGUUAUGUAUUUUUUAAGGAACCAACAUUGGUGCAACAUCAUCACAUUUUUGGAGAGCCUGAGCAACAUAUACAAGAAAAUUGGAAAAAGAAGUGCAAUAAGCAUAUAGAGUUUGGUUCAUGAUUGAAAUUACUUGAUAUUAGAAAGUUAACAUUUGUGAAAAUUGAUGUUGAAGAGUAGUCAAAACUACAGAAAUGGCUAAUAAUGGGCAAAAUGCUCUCUGGAAUUGGCUCACUGGAAAGAUUCCAAGGGAACUGACAAGACUACAAUUCGAGGCAGACUAAAAACUCUCUCUCAAUGUUCUUAUCAGACCGAUUGCUGUUCCUCAUCUAUUGGAGUCCGAAGAAGAGUCGUAUUUUGCUAGUGGAUUUACGUGGGAAUCAGUGGUCAUAGUUGUGGAUUAGUUGUUGCAACUGUCAUGUGGAGCCUCAUGUCUAAAGCUAAAAUGAAUUGUGGAAUUUUUUGAAGCCAUCUAUAAAAGCAAAAGACAGAAACCUGUGAUCCUUCAAUACAAUUAGUCUCUCAUCAGUUUUCUUUGCUUGUGCAUCAUUUUUUUAUUUGAUCACUACACCUUUGUCUUGAGUCGAGGGUUUACGGAAACAGCCUCUGGUUAUUUUCCAUCACUGUGUAUCAUAUAGAUGGAAUUUCCCUCAUUAACUAAAUGUGAAAAGUCUUGAAAAAACAGCACAAGAAUAGAAGAAGCAUGAAAUAGAAAGAGUAGUAUUGCUUAAUCAGCUAGUACUGUAGCUUAUCGUAAUCACUAGUAAUUGAUGAAUCACACUGCAAGCAUAUCAUGAAUUUGGCUUAAAGACUUAGAAGUCAUCGUCUGCAUGUUAAUACGAGACGGUCCUACGAAGAAUAAUGUAAAAAGUCUUGUGUACCUAACAAGUUAGAAUGUUCAAAUACUUUUAACUAAAAUCUAUCUACAGUUUUAUUAGUAUUUUGUAUUCUUCUGCUUUGUGUAUCAUCGAGUUCUCUUACAUACUCUGAUCCCUGAUUUUGUAAGAACAGAACAUCCUAUUAUUUGGUGAAUACAAAAAAAGAGUCUCUUUUUCUUUUAUUCAUUUCUCUCUUUUGUGUUGCUAAUAAGUCUAUGCUUUUCUUCUUUCCUUUGAGCAUCAUUUUUGCUCUCCCAAGUAGGCACUUUAAAACAAAUAUAAAACAUUACAUUUUAAAAUAAAAUGACAAAAGUGAAUAAAUUAAUCAGUGGUCAUAGGCGACAUUUCACUACAAGUGUACGACAAAAACAACUUUUAGCAGCAAUAAACGUACUGUCACGCCCCGAGCCUACACCCUGGGUGUGGCCGGCACUCGGAGACCAUAGCUGGCCCCAAGCGAACACUUGGCCUGGCUUUCUUAACUCAGCGGAAACCUAACUCAACAGAAUAACUCAACUGAUAAAAUCUGGCCAAAAAGGCAACUCGAGUCUCAAAAUAGAAUAUUUAUAUAUAUAUAUAAAUGAGAGACUCAAUACUAACUGACUGACUGUCUAUGAAGCCUCUAUAAUACUGAGAUGGAUGUUGGGACAGACCCCGCAACAUCCUAAUAAAACAAAACUAAGAGAAACAAAAUAACCGAGUCCUCCGGAAAACAAGGAGGCUCACCACAGACUCUGGAGUGCUCAACUGGAUCAACGGCGUGCUGGAUGCUGAUCCUAGGUACCUGUGUCUACAUCAUAAAAAAAUGCAGGUCAACUGGCAUCAGUACAUGGAAUGUACGAGUAUGUGAGCUGGACCGCUAAACAACAACUUAAGCUUGAAAAGGGGUAUAAAAGAGAACUUACCUUGGCUUUAUUCAACUCAUGAAUAACUGAACUCAAUAUAAAGCAAUAAGACACAUGAAAUAUAUAUAGCUUGCAAAACUAUUUAAAACAUGACGUCAAAAUCAUAUUUAUAAUAUCAUAAAAAUACCAUGCUUCCUCUCAAAGUCUACUUGUGCAAUGCAUGAAUGAAGUCCCAUACCCCCAUCCAUACUAAGCAGAACCCCUCGAGGAACCAUGCAAUUUCUACUGUGGGAGUUUCUCUAACCGACAACCACCACUAUGACCUAAGUGGUGACACAACGUCUUGUCCACGCUGCCAGAACUGUUCUAUACUUUGUCGUUAUAUAGAACUACUUAACUUUAACUUAGUGGAUCCACUAGCUUAACUUACGUGAUCAUCUAAAAAGUAUGACCCGUUAAAUCCCAUGUUGGCCACAUGGUUCUUAUGGAGAGUUGAGUUAAUAUGAACUCGUGUCCCCAAUUCGGUGCUCAAGACUACUCCCAAAAAUAUACUUUAGCCCAUAUGUUUUAAAAACAAACUUCUUUCUCUAAUUUGAAUUACUUGCGCAAACUACCCUCUUAAAAGAGGUAAUUGCUCUUGAAAACUCUUUCUAAAAAGAACAUAUCAAAACCAUAUUUUUAUAUGAUCAUUGAUGACUCGGGAAGUCAUACUGCAUAAACAUUGAUGGUAUAUCUAGAGACCAUACUGUUUAAACAUUGAUGACAUACUCGAUUUUUCAUACUAAUCAUGUUUUAGAAACUCUUUCGCAAAACUCAUCUUUUUCUUAAAGGAGAUAGUACUCAAACUGCUCAAAACUCUUUUGGAAAUCUCAAUUUCCUCUCAUCUUAAAUGUGAAAACAUUUAUAAACUUAUUUGGGAAUACUUAGUUCCCUAAUAACUUUUGAGAAAUGAACUUGACUCUAUACUCUUUAAUUAACUUGAAACUCUAUACUCUUUACUUAACUUAAAACUGUAUACUCUUUACUUAAGUUGAAACUUGAGUUUUAAAAUGAAGUUAAAACGUUUAAUAACGACUCUUGAAAAACUUUGAAAACUUGCUUUGACUCGCUUCUUAACUUCUAGACUUGACCCUUAACUUCACUUUGACUUGAUCCUAACUCGCCUUGAAUUGGAUUAUGGAUUCAAGGUAUAUGAUAACAUGUUUAUGGAUGAAUUCUUGACGUUUAGACAUACCUUGGAGUAUUAGAAACAACUAUAAAACAUAGGUACAAUACUAAGGAACAUGCAUGAAAAAGUGGGGAAUGAAUGGGAAAGGUUGGCGUCCUUGGCACUCUGAGAGGCGCGGGGCGCUAGACCACAAAGCUCAGAAGGGCAGUUGGGACGCACUUCUAGGCGCGCCCCCCAAGGAGAGAAGUUCAAAACACUUCUUGGGGCGCUCUGCAAGGCGCGACGCGCCACCCCUUUUCCCCAAAAACUCGACUUUUUUCCUUCAUUUCUCCAACUCUAAACCUUCUCAACCUCAAAGUUUCCAGCCCCAAACACUUAAUAUCAUAAGACCCCUCAACAUACAAUAGAUUUAACCCGGAAACACAACCGGAAGCAUGUCCCAAAUCAACAAGGAACUUCAACAACACAAUCAACAACAUCAACAAUACAACCAACAACUUCAACAACACAACCAAUCUUUUCUCGGAAAUAAAACGAUUUUGGUGUGUGGGGGAAAGAACCAACCCAACACUAUGAACUCACAUACCUAGUAGGGAUCACCCCCGACGAUAUCCACGACGAUCUUUGACGAAACCUUGCUUGAUCUUGUCUUUCUUCUCCUCUUCACUCACAAACCCUCACUCUCACUCUUUUAAAAAGGGAAAACUGAUCUAAAAAUCAGUCUAACACAUUAAUAUAACCAAAAGAAUUGGUUAGGGAAAAGACCAAAAUACCCUUACAAAUUUCCGGGCGGACCUUCCCUGCCAACUGCCCAACUUCCAAAAGGCAUAACUCACUCAUACGAACUCGGAAUCAAGUAAAAUUGGCGGCGAUGAAAAGAUCAUUCCAUGAGCUUCGCAAACAUAACUGGAACUACACCUAACUCAUCAUGAGCUAGGAGUUAUGACUGUUCAAAGUUGGUCAAAACUCACCUUUUUUCUACACUUGUCCAAAUUUCCAGAUUUUUAAAUUCUUUCCAAAAAUGACUAUCUCCAAUUCUAAGCCUCUUCAUAGUUAUUUCAAAUUGCCGGAUGUUACAAAUACACAUUAACAAAGACUGCUAAAACCUUUACUUGUAUUAAUUAAUUAUCAUUGGAUUCAAUGUCUCUAUAGGCUUUAGGGACACUUACAAAAAGUGCUAAUUGCCGCUAAAAAUACAUGUUUAGUAGCGAUUAAGCUAUAGCCGUUAAUUAAUUACCCCUAAAGAUCAUUUUUGAUGUAGUGUAGAUCACUACACCUUUAUCUUGAGUCGAGGGUCCACUACUAGAAAACUGUAAAUUACCUGGGAAUUUCAUUUGGAGAUUAUUUUCGCAGAAAUUUCCUAUGAAUUUUCAUGCGGAAAUAUGAAAUUCCUAAAUUCUAGACUUCUCUACAUGCGAAAAAUAAUUUCCCUGAAAAAUUGGUAGGUAACUUUGGCGCCAUUUUUACAAAAUUAUUACCUAUGGAAUUAUUUGGGAAAAAUAAUUUGCAAGUAGCAUUUUCAUAGGUAAAUUCACAAGUAAUAAAAAAAUUUAUUUUUUUAGUAUGUUUGCAAGAAAAUUCCUAGAAAAACAUAUUUGCAGAUUUAGCUAGAAAUAAUUACUUGAAAAUUUAUUUGCAAAUAAUUUUAUACGUGUUAUUACUUGGGGAUUUUAUUGUUGUGACUUUGGUUGAAGAUUUUUAGAGGAAUGCAUACUUGAAUUUUUUUAAAUACAAUUUAAUUGGAAGUAUUUUCUUGGAAUCUAAGGAUUUUUUUAUUUGGAGUCUUCAAGAAAUAUUUUCUUUAAAAUAUAUUUAACAAAAUCUAAAACUAUAAUAAUAUAAAAAAUAACAAUGACAUUAGAAUGAAUUUUAUUGUUAAAUAUAUACUCUACUUUUAGAUUACAUAAAUUAUUAUACAAUAAUAUCAAUCUAACACUAUAUUGGAACAUUACCACAAAUGUCAUGAACAAUAUUUUUAACUUAUAUAUAGUUACAAUAUUUAGUCCUAAAAACCAAUGAUGCGAUAUUUUUUUUUUGAAAGAUACAAAAGCAUUAAAAAUUAUAUGGCUAGUUAUUUAUCCUUAGAAAAAUAACUAUCAUAAAUAUAUUUAUUUUUGAUUAGAUAUUACUUUAUAUUAAAUUUCGUAUUAUUGAAUAAGUCAAUCACUGUUUAAGUAGAGUAAAAUUAAAUUAUAUACAUUAUUAAUGUGAAUUUUAAUCAACCCCUAGUUUAUAGAAUUAUAUUAAAUGAAAAAUAAAUAAAAUUUUAACUAUAUAUCAAAUUUAUAUUUUUUUUUUCUUACAAGCAUUAAAUAUGAUAUAAUUUCUCUAUAGUAAGUUAUUAAAUGUUAUUUAUUUGCAAAUAUUUAUUAUUAAGUAUGUUAAAAUAUAAUUAUUAAAAGAUAAAUUAAAAUUAUAAAACCACAAAUACCUAAUAAGAUGUACUAUCAAUUAUUGGUUAUAACUUUCUUGCACUUUAAUUUAAAUUAUAGAUUUAUUUAUAUUUUCAAUUAUUUUUUUAUAAGAACUUUUUAUGUAUAAUAUAAAUUUUGUCUACGUUUAAUAUGCUUAGCUAUGGAUAUUAUCUCAUAGAAAGUGUAAGCAUAAAAUUUUCAUGAUAUGUUGGGUGGUGGUGAUUUAAUUUAAAUAUAUAGUUUCACUUUUUAAGAGUUAAAUCAAAUGAACUUUAGCCAACAUUUAAGAUAUAUUUUUUACCUUAUUGAUAUGACAUGAAAAGAUUAGCAUUUAUAAUGCUACGACUAAUUAAACACAAGUAAAAUAAAAUUUCAUGUUGGUAAGUUUUAAUGAAAAAAAUCAAUUAAAUAGAUUGAAGACUUUGUAAGUGAAACACUCAUAGUUGAGUGACUUUGUAAGUGAAACACUCAUAGUUAAGUGACUUUUGAGUUAAAAAUCAAAGUUGAGUGACUUUCUGAGAAAAAAACUCAUAGUUGAGUGACUUUGAAGUUAAAAACCAAAGUUGAGUGUCUUUCUAAGAAAAUAGUACAUAGUUGAAUGACCUUAUGAGAUAUUAAAAAUUUAGACACAUAUCAAACAAAAUUUUGAAUUAAAAGCAAAUAAAAGAAUAAAAAUAAAAAUUCCACACGGUAUUAUUGUUCAUUUUUUCCUCACUUGACUUAGUCAAGAAAUAGUUUCUCUUAGAAGUUCUGCAUAAUUUUUUUCUACAUAAUGGGACCAAUUUCACAUCAUCUUAUGUAACACACUGCAGAGAUUGCUAAUAACCUCCAAAUGAACACAACAUCUAGAGAAAAUGAGGGCAUAUGGAGUAUUAUUUUGUUAAGUCUCCUCCGUCCUCUAACAAGUCUUGUAGAACACUACAAAAUAUGAGUAACAAGUUGUUAGAAGUGAGUAGUACUCUUCUUGUGAUUCAAUUGUUCAACAAUCUCGAUUUAUCAUAAUCUUUUUCCCCUUCUAGUCUGUUGUGAUCAUGGAUAGCCGAGAAGUUAGACAACUUGUUGGGCCCGAGGCUAAACCACGAAGUGGAUAAGACAGCCCAACAAUAGGUUUGCUUGGAAUCCAGGUUGAGUACAAAUAAAAGGGUAAUCACUGUGGUUUUGGGAGUUUAUGCAGAUUGUGAAAGAAAUUGUUUGUUCCUCCCAUCUCUUUCUAGAGUCUAAGCUUUUCAUCCACAUUUUUAUCUCUAUCUUUAGUUACUUGUUAUUUAAGUAUUUUCCUUUGUAAUUCUAUAGUUGAAGUGUUGCCGUCGUGAUUUGUCUAUCAGUGAUUACAUAUUACUUGAGUAUUUGAGUUGCGAAUUUAGAUUCGUUACAUAGUCUUUGAGGAAAUUGGCUUAAAGGUUUACAAGUCAUCGUCCGCUAGUUACAUUACUACAUCCUUUAUUUCCUUAGGUGGAAUGGAAUAUUGAUGGAUUUUCCCUUGUUAACUAAAUGUGAAAACUAUUGUGUACCUAACAAGUUUGAAAAUAGCAGAAGAGACAACUAAUCACUAACUCAGAAUAUUGACCUUUUAUGAUGGUAUAGAUUCCAUGGAGCUUGGUUUCCUCUAUUCCAAACGUACCAUAACUGUUGUCAUAAUUGGUGUCCCUUCUUGUCACAUGGAAGAUGAAAUGGAGUAACAUCAUGUCUUUAUUGCUCAUUUAUUUUUAUUUUUCUCAAUUGACUUGGUUAUACAAUAGUUUCUCUCUUUGAAAAGUAUUGUGGAAAACAGAAGAAGAGAUGUUGAUGGAAAGCUAGACAAGAAUGACUUAAAAUAGGAGUUCAAAUUUCUACCUAUCCAUCUAUACUAAUGUUAAAUUGCUAUAAUAUUUUCAACUUAAAACACUUAAUUUAGUAUAUUUUUUAUAAUUUAUAAUAUGUUAUAUUAUAUUUAUUUAUUUAAUUUAAAAUAUAGUGUACUACAUGAUUUAGCAUUCAUGUGCAAUGCACGUGCAACAAACCUAGUACUAUCUUAAAAACUAUGUUACUUAGAUUAUUUAAAAAUGUCAACAGGUACGUGUUAGAUUCUUCAAAAGUUAUGUAUUUUUUAAGAAAUCAACAUUGGUGCAACAUCAUCAUCUUUUUGGAGAGCCUGAGCAACAUAGUUCAUUUAUACAAGAAAAUUGGAAAAAGAAGUGCAAUAAGCAUAUAGAAGAAGCAUGAAAUAGAAAGAGUAGCAUUGCUUAAUCAGCUAGUACUGUAGCUUAUCGUAAUCACUAGUAAUUGAUGAAUCACACUUGAAGCAUAUCAUGAAUUUGGGUUAAAGACUUAGAAGUCAUUGUCUGCUAGUUAAUACGAGACGGUCCUAUAUAUGAAGAAUAAUGGAGUUUCCCUCAUUUUUGCUCUCCCAAGUAGGCACUUUAACAAUUCAAAAUUUAAACAAAUAAAAACUCGAUUUUACCUUUGACACACGUGAAUUGCACGCAUUUUACCAAGUAGGAUUUGAGUGUUUAUUUAUCAAGUAGGAUUCGAUCUUGGCUCACUUUGGCAACUCAAUUUAUCUCACAACGAUCCCAGAGAAGAUAUCCCAACGGAACUGGGACAAAUGAAUACGCUUUUAAGUUCUAGAUUUCUCAUGGAAUUGGCUCACUUGAAAGACUCCAAGGGAACUGACAAGACUAAAAAAUUUGCCAGAUUUUGUUGGUAUAAUAUACCACAAAUAUAAAACAUUAUAUUUUAAAAUAAAAUGACAAAAGUGAAUAAAUUAAUCAGUGAAUUUACGUGGGAAUCAGUGGCCAUAGGCUACAUUUCACUACAAGUCUACGACAAAAACAACUUUUAGCAGCAAUAAAUAUACACAUUAACAAAGAGUGCUAAAAUUUUACUGGUAUUAAUUAAUUGUCAUUGGAUUCAAUGUCUCUAUAGGCUUUAGGGACACUUACAAAAAGUGUUAAUUGCCGCUAAAAAUACAUAUUUAGUAGCGAUUAAGCUAUAGCCAUUAAUUAAUUACCCCUAAAGAUCAUUUUUGAUGUAGUGUAGAUCACUACACCUUUAUCUUGAGUCGAGGGUCCACUACUAGAAAACUGUAAAUUACCUGGAAAUUUCAUUUGGGAAUUAUUUUCGCAGAAAUUUCCUAUGAAUUUUCAUGCGGAAAUAUGAAAUUCCUAAAUUCUAGACUUCUCUACAUGCGAAAAAUAAUUUCCCAGAAAAAUUGGAAGAUAACUUUAGCGCCAUUUUUACAAAAUUAUUACCUGGGGAAUUAUUUGGGAAAAAUAAUUUGCAAGUAGCAUUUUCAUAGGUAAAUUCGCAANNNNNNNNNNNNNNNNNNNNNNNNNNNNNNNNNNNNNNNNNNNNNNNNNNNNNNNNNNNNNNNNNNNNNNNNNNNNNNNNNNNNNNNNNNNNNNNNNNNNNNNNNNNNNNNNNNNNNNNNNNNNNNNNNNNNNNNNNNNNNNNNNNNNNNNNNNNNNNNNNNNNNNNNNNNNNNNNNNNNNNNNNNNNNNNNNNNNNNNNNNNNNNNNNNNNNNNNNNNNNNNNNNNNNNNNNNNNNNNNNNNNNNNNNNNNNNNNNNNNNNNNNNNNNNNNNNNNNNNNNNNNNNNNNNNNNNNNNNNNNNNNNNNNNNNNNNNNNNNNNNNNNNNNNNNNNNNNNNNNNNNNNNNNNNNNNNNNNNNNNNNNNNNNNNNNNNNNNNNNNNNNNNNNNNNNNNNNNNNNNNNNNNNNNNNNNNNNNNNNNNNNNNNNNNNNNNNNNNNNNNNNNNNNNNNNNNNNNNNNNNNNNNNNNNNNNNNNNNNNNNNNNNNNNNNNNNNNNNNNNNNNNNNNNNNNNNNNNNNNNNNNNNNNNNNNNNNNNNNNNNNNNNNNNNNNNNNNNNNNNNNNNNNNNNNNNNNNNNNNNNNNNNNNNNNNNNNNNNNNNNNNNNNNNNNNNNNNNNNNNNNNNNNNNNNNNNNNNNNNNNNNNNNNNNNNNNNNNNNNNNNNNNNNNNNNNNNNNNNNNNNNNNNNNNNNNNNNNNNNNNNNNNNNNNNNNNNNNNNNNNNNNNNNNNNNNNNNNNNNNNNNNNNNNNNNNNNNNNNNNNNNNNNNNNNNNNNNNNNNNNNNNNNNNNNNNNNNNNNNNNNNNNNNNNNNNNNNNNNNNNNNNNNNNNNNNNNNNUUUUCCUCACUUGACUUAGUCAAGAAAUAGUUUCUCUCAUUGGAAAUUUCUUAGAAGUUCUGCAAAAAAAAUUUCCACAUAAUGGGGCCAACUUCACAUCAUCCUGCCUAACACACACUGAAGCGAUAGAUAAUGACCUCGAAAUAAACUCAACAUCUAGAGAAAAUUAGGACAUAGAGUCUUAUUUUGUUAAGUUUUCUCCGUCCUCUAGAAAGUCUUGUGAAACACUACAAAAUAUGAGUAACAAGUUGUUAGAAGUGAGUAGUACUCAUCCAUGGACCACAAGUUGCGUAGUUAGUGAUGCGAAAGUGGUACUAUCUACCAACACUGACUUAAAGACUUGAGUUAACACUUGGGACAACUCUUUUUGCAACCACAAAUUAGUUAGUACCCCAUUUUAUACCUCAUAGUCUCAUGCAUAGAUAAGUCAACCACGUUACUUUAUCAAAUAGUGUUUAGUUAAUUGCUCGUUGUAAUAAUUAAGNNNNNNNNNNNNNNNNNNNNNNNNNNNNNNNNNNNNNNNNNNNNNNNNNNNNNNNNNNNNNNNNNNNNNNNNNNNNNNNNNNNNNNNNNNNNNNNNNNNNNNNNNNNNNNNNNNNNNNNNNNNNNNNNNNNNNNNNNNNNNNNNNNNNNNNNNNNNNNNNNNNNNNNNNNNNNNNNNNNNNNNNNNNNNNNNNNNNNNNNNNNGUUCGAGGUUCUUAUUAAUAUUCUAGGAAGGUUUUAAACGCAUCUAGAAUAUCCACUAAUGUGGUUAUCCGACGAUUAAUUUUUUUGGCUAAAAUAAUUUAACUUAGCUUGAAUUGCAAAAUUGAACUAUUAUAUAGUUGGGACCAUUUUAAGAGAAAAAUAUCAAAAUACUAAAAAAUAAAUUUAUCCAAGUGAAAUAUUUUGUAAACUUAUUUAUUUUAUUUAUUUAUUUAUUUUUAGGUCAAGUAGGAGAUGAAUAGUUUAGUUUAAAUAAUUAACUCAAAAUGGGUGUCUUUUGGGGGGUUUGAAUGUUUGAAACCUUAAAAUCAAUAUCAAUUAUUAACAAAUAAAUAAACACAAUAAAAUAAAGAGAGAGAAUUAGGCCCAAGUCUGGAUUUCCUGUCCGUCUGGGCCAGUACUUGGGCCUAAUUUCAGUUUUGGGCCCUUGGCCCAUUUAAGUCAUUUGUACCUGUCCUAUUCUAACAUAAUAGAACUAUUUUCCAUUUGGGGGCCUUAGGCCCAAUUCUUCCACCUGUUCAAACUAGCACAAUAAUUGCAAAUAAAAUGACAAGGGCUUAGGCCCAAAAAAUAACAAAAUACAACUUCUUAAAGAAGAGUGGGCCUCUUUAAGGCCAUUUUCUCAUUUUUCGUAUACACUAGGUGUAUACUAGUGUAUACAAUCUCGUAUCAGCUCCAAACCCUGUUCAUCAAAUUUUUGGGACCCCUCCUUCAAUUGCUAUGGUUGGUUGACUCGAUAAAGGAUUUUUGGGGCACUCGUGGCCCCCUUUGGAAUGCAAAGGUUGAGUCCAUGAGGACUUGGGCAUAUUUCACAUGAAAAGACACAUAAAUAAGAAUUAGCACCUUAUUAUAGGUUGAUGAAAGUAAUUAUGAAUUGAUUAAUAUUAGACUCAAACUUAAACAAGUUCCAAUAGAGUAGUAAAUCCACGGUGAUUAUGCAAACGAAGCCUUAUCACAUUACUCAACUAACAUGAAAGACAUGGUAACCUCUCAAUUAAUAUAAACUCAAGUUUCCUUUCAAAAAGUAUGAAAAUAAAAAAAAAGUAAAGCAUUAGAAGGAGACAGUAGCUAUGAUGUCAAAUAAUUAAGUGGCUAAAAUUCUAAAGAAAAAUUAUUCUGAUUAUGAAUCUACACCCAGAUGUAGCAUCUAUGAUAAACACACUUGUCACAUAAUUAAAUAUAGUCCACACAUUUCAAAAAUAAUAAUAAAUAAAUAAAUUAGGAGAAUACUUCAACUUUGCAUAUAUCUAAAAAAAAAACAAAGGAAGAGAAAAUCAAUAAGGAUUAAAUCGACUAAUACAUAGACUCUUUUUUUUAAAAAAUAAAAUAAAAUAAAAUAAAGAAAUAAGAUAAAAAUAAAUAAAUAAAUAAACAAGAGCUAAUUGAUUACAUACAAACGAAACGAAACGGUUAACAUGCUAGACUCAGUUUAAGCUUGACUAAAAAAUUUCUGAAUAGACGAUUUACCACAGAUUUAGUGCAUAUUGCAAAACCAAUGAGGUAGGACACUUUAUCCAUGGACAAACCAACAAAUAUUGCUUAUGAAAUAUAGCAAGAGAUCACAUGAUUUGCAGCCAUGAAUAGGAGGGAGCUUGGGGAUUUGCAACUUUAUUAAAAAGGGGGAAAGGAGGGAAGAAUAUACGUCAUUUAACAGACAAGAUUAGACAUUCAAAACAUAAUUAUUAAGACUACUUCAUUAUUUUGUUUCCCACCCGGUGUCCGGAGCCCACUUUGGAGUUCCGACUAAAUUCGGAUCGCGCUUUGCAGGGCCCAUUCGGGGGUGGCGCUCCCAACAAAAUUUUCUCCAUACCCAGGGCUCGAACCCGAGAUCUCUGGUUAAGGGUGAAGCACUCCCACCAGUGCACCACUACCCAUGUUGGUACCGUAUCCCUUAUUUCCUUAGGUGGAAUGGAAUAUUGAUGGAUUUUCCCUCAUUAGCUUAAUGUGAUCGAAAACUAUUGUGUACCUAACAAGUUUGAAAAUAGCAGAAGAGACAACUAAUCACUAACUCAGAAUAUUGAUCUUUUAUAAUUCUAUAAUUCCGUGGAAAAAUUGCAUCAAAAUUUAAUGUAAUUGUACAACUUGGUUUCCUCUAUUCUGAAUGUACACUAAUUGUUCUCAUAAUUGGUUCAAUGACGUGUCUUAACCUUUUAUGAUUAUAUAAAUUCUGUGGAAAAAUUGCACUAAAAUCCUCAAUUGACUUGGUCAUAUAAUAGUUUCCCUCUUUGAAAAAGUAUUGUGAAAAACAGAAGAAGAGAUGUUGAUGGAAAGUUGGACAAAAUCAUCAUAUAUCUAUCAUUUUGGCCUUAUACUAAAUUAUAUAUUAUUAUAUUUAUAUAUUAUUAAAAGUGGAAAGCUCUUGUCUUCAAAGUUGAUUUACCAUUUUGCUCUUAUAUUAAAUUAAUUUUUUUAUAAAAUAAUUUUUCUUUACACCAUAAUUAAAAAAAAUCAAUUAAAUUAGUUUUCAAUANNNNNNNNNNNNNNNNNNNNNNNNNNNNNNNNNNNNNNNNNNNNNNNNNNNNNNNNNNNNNNNNNNNNNNNNNNNNNNNNNNNNNNNNNNNNNNNNNNNNNNNNNNNNNNNNNNNNNNNNNNNNNNNNNNNNNNNNNNNNNNNNNNNNNNNNNNNNNNNNNNNNNNNNNNNNNNNNNNNNNNNNNNNNNNNNNNNNNNNNNNNNNNNNNNNNNNNNNNNNNNNNNNNNNNNNNNNNNNNNNNNNNNNNNNNNNNNNNNNNNNNNNNNNNNNNNNNNNNNNNNNNNNNNNNNNNNNNNNNNNNNNNNNNNNNNNNNNNNNNNNNNNNNNNNNNNNNNNNNNNNNNNNNNNNNNNNNNNNNNNNNNNNNNNNNNNNNNNNNNNNNNNNNNNNNNNNNUCUUUGCAUUUAAUAAUUAUAAUAACCAUAACUUUAUAUGAAACGUUGGUGGUUCAAUUAUUUAAUUGUUACGUUAACCAAUGGCCAACUUCUCAUUGCUACAGUAAGUACAAAGAAGUUGAAAAGUUGAAUUGAAUAUUAAUUAGUAAAUUAAUUCAUUAGUAAAUAAAUGAAAGGAAAUUUCAAAGGUCUAGGAAAAAAUAUUAUAUAAAGGCUAAACGAGUUCACUAAUUUCCCAUCUGCUCUUUGUAACUUUUGAGAUUGAAUGCAAAUCAUUUUAACUUCGAUUUCAUUUUUUCCCUUUUCUUUUUAUAUCCUUUGAUAGUUUGCAUAUAUAAAAGAAGAGAUGGGAGUAUGUAAGAUUGUUUUUUAUGCCUUCUAAUAGUUUGCAUAAAAGAAGAGAUGAGAAGUAUGUAAGAUUAUUGAUGCCAAAUUAGAGUAGCUGUCAUAUUCAAUUUUUACUACUCUUGAAUUAUCAGCUAUAAUAUAAUCUUCCGAGAAAUUAUGAUCAAAAUCACCAUCUCUCCUCCCUUUCAACUAUCAGUAUUACACCGUUUAUACUAGUUUUGUAAAAAAUUUAAAACAUACUAUUUUGGUGAAUUGAUUUAAACAAUGGCUUAUUUUGGUCAAAAUUUUGAUUUCUCCGGAAGGUUGAUCAUAGUUGACAUAAAUGAAUUCAUUGUUAUAGUAUAAUCUGAUUACAAUUCUUUAAGAUACAAAGAUAUUAUACUCUCUACAAAUAAGUUAUUUCAUGAUAUAAAGAAAUGGUGUUAUUUGAAUGCGUUGAUUGAUGCUCCUCUUCACGUUGAUUACUGGCUAUAACCUUUUAUCAUCAUUGCAAUAUUCAACUUUAACUUGAAUUAUUACUUGAAAAGAACUCAUUAAUCUUUUUUGUGUAUGCAUGGCAUAUUUGGUUAAUUAGAAUUACAAUACUUUGAUUUCACAUGUAUUGGAAUUUCAUUUGUUUCCAUGCACAAUUGUUAAGCUUAUAACAAUUAGCUUUAAAUUUUUAAUUAGCAUAUAUUAUUUGCGUUUUGUAAAUUUUAACGAGAAUUGUUUUAAAUAUCAUAUCUAAGUUUUUUGUUUAAAUAUUUCAGAUUCAUUGUUUUGCUAUUUGGUGUGAGCAUCACAAUUCAUUAUUCAAUUAUUAUGUCAUGAAAUUUAUUACUUAAUGUUAUUAGGUGCAAAUAUUUUGCUUAUAAAGAAGUAUUAGUAUUAAAUAUUUGCACCUAAUAACAUUAAGUAAUAAAUUUCAUGACAUAAUAAUUGAAUAAUGAAUUGUGAUGCUCACACCAAAUAGCAAAACAAUGAAUCUGAAAUAUUUAAACAAAAAACUUAGAUAUGAUAUUUAAAAAAUCAUUUAGUGCUCAACGAAGAAGUCAUUCAAAUUGGAUGAGUGUUACAUUCAUCAAUUUUAGUUUGUACUUUUUUUUGUUAUUGAUUACACUAUGGUUUUAAUAUAACUUAUAUCGUGUAUACUACUUGCUUGAGACACACGUGCAACGUACGUGUUCAGAAACUAGUAUAUCUAUAAAAGCAAACGACAGAAAACUGUGAUCCUUCAAUACAAUAAGUUGAUUACUCAGUUUUCUUUGCUUAUGCAUCAUUUUUUAAUUUGAUCACUACACCUUUAUCCUGAGUUGAGGGUCUACGAAAACAGCCUCUCACUACACCUCUUCAUAUUUGAACGGUAUCAUAUAGAUGAAAUUUCCCUCAUUAACUUAAUGUGAAAAGUCUUUUGAAAAACAACUAAUCGGAAAUUAUUUCUCAUAAAAUUUCUCUACAGGUGUAGUGAUCUUCACCAAGUUAUUCAAAACAUAUAGGAAAUUAAGACGAGUUAAUACAUCAGAUGGUCACUCAACUAUGCACUAUUUUCUCAGAAAGUCACUCAACUUUGGUUUUAAACUUAAAAGUCACUCAACUAUGAGUUUUUUUCUCAGAAAGUCACUCAAAAAUACAUGUUUAGUAGCGAUUAAGCUAUAGCCGUUAAUUAAUUACCUCUAAAGAUCAUUUUUGAUGUAGUGUAGAUCACUACAUCUUUAUCUUGAGUCGAGGGUGCACUACUAGAAAACUGUAAAUUACCUGGGAAUUUCAUUUGGGGAUUAUUUUUGCAGAAAUUUUCUAUGAAUUUUCAUGCGGAAAUAUGAAAUUCCUAAAUCUAGACUUCUCUACAUGCGAAAAAUAAUUUCCCAGAAAAAUUGGUAGGUAACUUUUGCGCCAUUUUUACAAAAUUAUUACCUGGAGAAUUAUUUGGGAAAAAUAAUUUCCAAGUAGCAUUUUCAUAGGUAAAUUUGCAAGUAUUAAAAAAUUAAUUUUUUAGUAUGUUUGCAAGAAAAUUCCUAGAAAAACCUAUUUGCAGAUUUAGCUAAAAAUAAUUACUUGAAAAUUUAUUUGCAAAUAAUUUUAUACGUGUUAUUACCUGGGGAUUGAUGUUCUACAAAUUUUGUUGGGAAUUUAUUUCUUGAGGAUUUACUUGGGAAUUUUUCUUACUUGGAGAAUUACUUGGGGAUUUUAUUGUUGCGAAUUUGGUUGAAGAUUUGUAUAGGAAUGCAUACUUGAAUUUUUUUAAAUACAAUUUAAUUGGAAGUAUUUUCUUGGAAUCUAAGGAUUUUUUUAUUUGGAGUCUUCAAGAAAUAUUUCUUUAAAAUAUAUUUAACAAAAUCUAAAACUAUAAUAAUAUAAAAAUAACAAUGACAUUAGAAAGAAUUUUAUUGUUAAAUAUAUACUCUACUUUUAGAUUAAAUAAAUUAUUAUACAAUAAUAUUAAUCUAACACUAUAUUGGAACAUUACCACAAAUGUCAUGAACAAUAUUUUUAACUUAUAUAUAGUUACAAUAUUUAGUCCUAAAAACCAAUGAUGCGAUUUUAUUUUUUUGAAAGAUACAAAGCAUUAAAAUUAUAUGGCUAGUUAUUUAUCCUUAGAAAAAUAACUAUCAUAAAUAUAUUUAUUUUUUAUUAGAUAUUACUUUAUAUUAAAUUUCGUAUUUUUGAAUAAGUCAAUCACUGUUUAAGUAGAGUAAAAUUAAAUUAUAUACAUUAUUAAUGUGAAUUUUAAUCAACCCCUAGUUGAUAGAAUUAUAUUAAAUGAAAAAUACAUAAUUUUUAACUAUAUAUCAAAUUUAUAUAUAAUUUUUUCUUACAAGCAUUAAAUAUGAUAUAAUUUCUCUAUAGUAAGUUGUUAAAUGUUAUUUAUUUGCAAAUAUUUAUUAUUAAGUAUGUUAAAAUAUAAUUAUUAAAAAAGGUAAAUUAAAAUUAUAAAACCACAAAUACCUAAUAAGAUGUACUAUCAAUUAUUGGUUAUAACUUUCUUGCACUUUAAUUUAACUUAUAGAUUUAUUUAUAUUUUCAAUUAUUUAUUUAUACGAACUUUGUAUGUAUAAUAUAAAUUUUGUCUACAUUUAAUAUGCUUAGCUAUGGAUAUUAUCUCAUAGAAAGUGUAAGCAUAAAAUUUUCAUGAUAUGUUGGGUGGUGGUGAUUUAUUUUAAAUAUAUAGUUUCACUUUUUAAGAGUUAAAUCAAAUAAACUUUAGCCAAGAAAUAGUGUUUAGUUAACUUUUUGUUUUAUUUAAUAUGGAGGUCGUUGUAAUAAUUAAGAAAUAAAAUAGUGUUUAGAUAAUUAUAGCAUUCUUUCUUACAUGACUACUUAUUUUAUUGACUUAUUUAUAUAUUGACGAUCAUCAUGAACCCAUAUUAUUAUUUUUACCUUUUUAUUCCUAUUACUAUUUUUAUUUAUUCAUUAUUGAAAUAUUCUAAAGCCUACCAAACGGUAAAACCUUUUGCAUUAUGCAAAAUAAAUUGUUGGGUGUUAAAAAAAGAUCAAAUUGUUUUUGGUGUAUUCUUUGAAUUACAAGCACUGCAACAAACAACUACAACAAAAAACAACUUUUAGCGGCAAUAAAUAUACACAUUAUUAAAGAGUGUUAAAGAUUUUGCCGGUAUUUUAAUAUUAUUAUAUCAACUUCUGAAAUUCAGCACAAUUAUUUCAAUAUCAUUGUAUAAUCUUAUUAAUGUUUUGAGUAAGAUUUGAUUAUUCUAACUUUAUAUUAUAUUUUUUCAUUGAAAAAUUUUGUUGUUUGUAUUCUUACUUUAAAGGUCUGCGUACAUCCUACCUUCUUGAAACUUUACUCGUAGGAUUACAUUAAUAAGUAUGUUAUAGGUAUUCAAUUUACAUAGGACACUUAGAAAGUAGUAUAUAUCUGUGUGGAUAAGACUGAUUGAUUUGUAAGAAGAACACAUCCAUCCUGUUAUUUGGUGAAAUCAAACAAACAAAAAAUGGCCGUGAGUCUGUUUUUCUUUUAUUCAUUUCUCUGUUUUGUGUUUUUAAUAAGUGAAUGCUUUUCUUCAUCCUUUGAUCAUCAUCUUUGCUCUCCCACUGAAGCUUCCUCUUUGCUUCAGUUCAAACAAUCCUUUCAAAUUAUGUCCAAAGAGUACUUUAGUUAUUGGUCUGAUGGAGAUUCUUUCCCGAAAACAAAGUCUUGGAAUGAGAGUAGGGAUUGCUGCAGUUGGGAUGGAGUCACUUGUGACUUAUUAAACGGUCAUGUUAUCGGGUUAGACCUUAGUAGUAGUCUGCUUUGUGGAAGUAUUCAUCCCAAUAGCAGCCUCUUCCAACUUCAUCAUCUCCAAACACUAAACCUUUAUAACAACCUCUUCAAUUAUUCUUCAAUCCCACAUAGCAUUGGCCAAUUGACGAAUUUGAGGCAUCUCAACCUUUCUCAUUCUCACUUUGGUGGGAAAAUCCCAACAGAAAACUCAUACCUUUCUAAUUUGGUUUUACUUGAUCUUUCUGUGUAUGGAUUACAACUUGAUGAGAGAACAUUUGAAACAAUGCUUCACAACUUCACAAAUCUGGAGGUACUAGCUCUCUCUCUUGGCGACAUCUCAUCACUGAUACCUGUAAGUAUUCAUCCCAAUAGCAGCCUCUUCCAGCUUCAUCAUCUCCACACACUUAACCUUGAUAACAAUUACUUUUAUCCUUCUUCGAUCCCAAAUGGCAUUGGCCGAUUGAGGAAUUUGAGGCAUCUAAAACUCUCUGGCUUUGAUGGGAAAAUCCCAACAGAAAUCUCAUACCUUUCCAAUUUGGUUUCACUUGAUCUUUCUUAUAGUUAUAAAUUCUUACAACUUGAUGAGAUAACAUUUGAAGCAAUGCUUCACAACUUCACAAAUCUGGAGAUACUUUCUCUCUGGUAUGUCAACAUCUCAUCUCCGAUACCUGUGAAUAUUUCUUCUUCCUUAAGAUAUGUGGAUCUUGCACAUACUAAUCUGCGAGGUGUUCUCACAGAGAGCUUUUUCCUUGUGCCAAACUUGGAAAGCCUCAAAUUGAGUGGGAAUGAUCUUCUCAAAGGAGUUUUUCCAAAGAUCCACCGGAGCAACACUCUGUUAAUGGAGUUGGAUAUUUCAUCCACAGGCAUCUCCGGUGAGCUGCCUGAUUCAAUUGGCACCUUUAGUUCAUUGAAUAUCUUGAACCUCGGAGGAUGUCAAUUCUCUGGUUCCAUUCCCGAUUCCAUAGGCAACCUAACCCAAAUUACGGAGUUGGCUUUGUCUUAUAAUCAUUUGGGAUAAUACAUAUAUUUGACCUUAAACUUGGCUUCAAAUUUUAACUUUGACCUCCAACUUUCAUAGUGCACAAACAAGCACUUUAACUAUCCAAUCUUUUAAUAAAUAAACACGUGAUUUUUGGAGCCAAGAGCGUGAAAUGCAAACGCUGCCACGUGUAUUAGAAAUUCCUGAUGUUUUCUCUAACCUCAAAGAGCUACGUACUUUACAUCUUUCUAAUAACAGCUUCAUCGGUUCGUUUCCCUCUUCAAUUUUAAGUUUGACACAUCUUGAAUACUUAGGAUUGACGAAUAAUUCCCUAUCUGGCCCACUGCCUAGCAACCAAAGCAUGCUUCAAAAGCUAACCGAACUGAAUUUGUCAUACAACUCACUGAAUGGUACCAUACCUUCUUGGGUGUUUAGCCUACCUUUGCUAUCUUCAGUAUCGCUCCAACAUAACCGAUUCAGAGGACUAGCCGAUGAAGUGAUCAAAACAAACCCAACAUUAAAAGAACUGCAUUUAAGCAAUAAUCACCUCAGUGGUUCUUUUCCUCAAUCACUUGUGAAUCUCACAAACCUUGAAACCCUUGGAAUUUCAUCAAAUAACAUCACCAUUGAUGAGGGUAUGAAUAUCACCUUUCUUAGCCUAUCAUCUUUAUUCUUAUCAUCUUGUCAACUGAAGGAUUUUCCACACUUCUUGAGAAAUGUAAAGACACUUCAGGUCUUGGAUAUUUCUAACAAUAAGAUUUGUGGUCAAAUCCCUAACUGGUUUAGCGGCAUGACGUGGGACUCAUUGCAGUUCCUAAACCUUUCUCAUAAUUCAUUAACAGGCCACCUACCACAAUUUCGUUACUAUAACCUACAAUAUCUUGAUCUGAAAUUUAACUUCCUUCAGGGGUCACUACCUUUAUCCAUUUGUAACAUGAGGAAACUUAUCUUAUUAGAUUUAUCACACAACUACUUCAGUGACUCAGUUCCACAUUGCUUGGGAAUCAUGGCUUCACUAACGGUGCUGAACUUAAGAAAGAACAACUUCACAGGUAGUCUUCCUCCAUUAUGUGCACAGAGCACUUCAUUGAGUACCAUUGUCGUAAAUGGCAAUCGAUUUGAAGGACCUGUUCCUGUGUCGUUGCUCAAGUGUGAUAGACUAGAAGUCCUUGAUGUGGGGAACAAUGUUAUAAAUGACACAUUUCCAGCUUGGCUCGGAACUCUUCAAGAGCUGCAGGUCCUUAUAUUAAAGUCGAACAAGUUCCAUGGACCUAUAAGUACGUGUCAGACUAAGUUUUGCUUUCCCAAGUUGCGAAUUUUUGAUCUUUCUCAUAAUGAUUUUAGUGGCUCACUUCCUGCAAAAGUUUUUGGAAACUUCAAGGCAAUGAUCAAAUUAGAUGGCGAAGAUACAGGA
This 51703-nucleotide long non-coding RNA is filed under the name Solanum tuberosum (potato). RNAcentral's name for it is "long non-coding RNA (STUB_LNC000291)". The record is from RNAcentral. Lineage: Eukaryota; Viridiplantae; Streptophyta; Magnoliopsida; Solanales; Solanaceae.